GAAGCCAAAGUUGUAUUUAAUACAGGUGGAGAAAGACUCGAGCCAAAGGCUCUAAAAAUAGUUUAGGACAGGUGAAAUGGGUCGGAAGCCCAACUAGACUAGGACAGGUCUUGUUGAUUUGGGCCCAAUGGUCUAAAUCCUUUACUUUCUCCUCCCUUCCCCUUUUAUGUGUUUAUUUGUUUAUUAGUUUUGUUUAGACUUAGUUAAAAUUCCUACUAAAUCACCUAAAUCUAUUUUACACAGGCUAAAUCAAAUCACUAUUUCAACAAAUUAAUCUUUUCGAAGUUAAUCAAAAUACGAUUUUCAAACAGUUCGGAUAACCGCAAGUUAGACGUUUUAGGUGCCUAACACCUUCCUAAAAUGCUAAUAGGAACCGCUUAUCUAGAAUCUCUAACUUAAAACGAUUUUCCUAUUUUGAAUCGUUUGAAGUGACUUUUAUAAAGGUUUCUUAAUUGCUUUUCAAAAUUAAGGGGCGACUCUCUUCAAAAAUCAAAAUUUCCGCAAAACAGAAAUGGUGACUCUGCUGGGGAUCUUUAACUAGGUUCUAACCAAAUGAUUGAUUUCAUCUUUUGAUUAACUGUUUAUGUGUUCCGAUUAUGUAAAGUUUAAUUAUCGCAUUUUAUGGCAUAUUCCUGCAUCUUAUAAACUGUUUUGCGGUUUCGUGGACGUCCCAGCCCCUGUUGUUCAAUUCCAAAAUAUGUUGGAAAUACGAAUAGCUUAUCAGCACGUGAGUCAUCUGACGCUGUUCGUAUUUUCAAACUCAAGUUGUCCGCUUGAGAAUCAAUUUUCAAACUCACUCUAGACACCUAGGAUAGAACGAAACCAAAACCCUAUUUUAGCCAUGAGCCUAGGACGACCCAAUACCCGAGAGGGGUAUUGGGCCCAUUAGAAUACCUGCCCUACGUAUAUUGACCCCGAGUCAAUUAUAAAUGAACCAUAUUUAUGUGUUGAAGAAAAUGUAUGCCUGUCUAAUUCAAUCCAUUAUCCUUUGGGGGUCGGGAAAAAGCUUGAUUUGCUUACUUUCGUAAGAAGAAUUGAAGCAAGUUAAGCAAGAAAUUGAUCGAUUUGGGAGGUUGCAUUUAAGGCACAAUUUGAGCGCCGACGGAUGUCACCAAUGUGAGAAGUGGACAAAGCUAAGAAGGCAAAGGCAGACGAAGGAGCCUCCAGUAGCUAGUUUUUCUAUUCUCCCCUGCGCGGGAACUUAUCCUUUUUCAUGUUAUUUCCCUUUUUCCCCCAAAGAUUGUAUCCUUGUUUUGUUAUCAUUUGUACGCAUUUAUGCCCGUUUCGUAUCUAUAUAAGUUGGGGUAUAAUGGAUUGAAUUUAGGGAAGCAUAUACUUUCUUCAAAAAUCGUUAGGCCUUAACCCUUGGCUCAAAAAGGGUCACCCCAGUUAGGAUACACAUUAUUAUAAUGUUUUGUGUGCUUGUGGUGUUUGUUUGGAUCAAAGGCAAGUUUAUCCGCUAUGCUCCUAUGGAUGAAUUUGUCUAGGAUUGAAACAAUUCUAUAUGGUUAUUUUCUGUCAAAUAUUUUGCAUUACUUAUCACAUAUGGAAACUAACACAUCUGCCUUUGAGUUGUUUUACUUAAAAGAUAAUAGAAAUUACUCCAUGUUGAUAUAAGCUGGCAGAACAUCCCCACAUCACCCGAUCGAAAGCGCAUAAAAUCCCAUCCUCUGACCAUCAUUCAAAAAUAACGGGAAAUCACAUAUGAGAUGAUUGUGGAACUUGCAAGAAAGUUAGAAAUGCUUCAGGAAGAAAUAAAUUGCACUCGGGAUUUGGCUAACUUGGCCAUCACCGUCAAUGCUCCUGCUCCGGGAGAACACCUAUUCUCGGGGAUCAGCCGAAUAACGUAUCAUCCGGCUCUGCUCCUCCAUUUGUCCAAAAUACUAAUCGUGAAAAUAAUCCAAAGGCCUACUAUCCACAAAAUCCAUCCGUAACCCCUCAGACCCCACCUUUAAAUCCAUUCCCAAAUCCUCAAAACACAUUUCCAAAUCCUCAAAACACAUUUCCAAAUCCGCAAGAUUCACUCCCAAAUCCACAAAAUACGUCAAACCUACCUUUGAAUCCACUAAAUUCAUGUCCAAAUCUGCGAAAUCCUUCCCAAAUUCCGCCAAACUACUCGCAAAGUCCGCAGAGCCUUCCCAAUUUCUAAAACGUCCUUCCCAAUUACCAACCAAAUUCCUUUCAUCCACAAAAUCAAGCCUCCCUUUCAAUUCCCCUUCAGGCUAUUGUAUUCCCUGACACCUAUGAACUCUGUUCUAAUCCUGAGAUGGACCAUUACGAGGAGAAGGAGAAAGAGUGGAAGGCCCAGUAUGAAAUGAAUUUACUAGCUAUGAAGGAAGAGAUCAUGAGGAUCAAAGAGUCUCAUAGAGCCAAGGACCACGACGGUUUGGGGUAUGACGAUUUAUGUGUUCACCCGGGAGUAGAUCUACCAGAAGGGUACAAAGUCCCUAAGUUUAAGAUAUUUGACGGUACCAAAAAUCCAAUGGUCCAUCUAAAAAGGUACUGUGAGCAACUGGUAGGGAUAGGAAAAAAUGAGGUGCUAUUGAUGCGCCUAUUCAGUCAAAGUUUGAAUGGUGAAGCCUUGGAGUGGUUCAUGUCUCAGGAGCCAAAAAAGUUAACUGAUUGGAAAACAUUGGCCAAGGUACAGCUAAUACAGCCAAAGCCUGUCAAUCCUAGCUCCCGAUUUUAUCACCCUGAUCAAAAUUGUGCCUAUCAUUCAGGGGCAGCAGGGCAUAGUACUGAGGACUAUCUUAUCUUGAAACACAGAAUCCAAGAUCUGAUUGAUCAAAAGGUCAUCAUGCUCCAGACACCUACUCCAAAUGUUAGCAGUAAUCUACUACCCAAUCAUGGGGGACCUACAGUUAACAUGAUUGAAAUAGAAGGCGAAUGGGCAUCUGGCAAGACCAUUACCCAGGUGAACUCUGAAAAGCACAAAAGGGCGGAAGAGGUAGAAAAGAUAGAGAAAGUUGUGGUUGCCUUAAGUAUCAAUGGGAAAGCCCCAUUUAUAGUGAUGACUACACUGAAUCAAGUGUACACUCCCCCUCCAAAGAAGGAAUUUAUUGUGCAAACCGCCGCUACCCAGGGAAUGACGCGAUCAGGACGAUGUUACAUCCCUAAGAAAUUGACCAACAAGAAAGAUUCACAGAAAAGGCCAAUCACUGAAGGAGAGGCUGAGGAAUUUUGGAGGCGUAUGCAACCAAAGGAUUACUCAAUUGUCAAACACUUGGAGAAAACACCAGCCGAAAUCUUUGUCUUGGUACUAUUAUUGAGCUCGCAACACCACCGAUAGGCUCUGUCGAAGGUCUUGGAGGAAGCGUAUGUUCCUGCAGGAACGAGCAUUAAGAAUUUGGCUACGAUGAUAGGGAACAUUGUGGGGAACCAUCGCAUAUCAUUAAGUGAUGAUGAGUUGCCGUUUGAAGGAGCAAUGCACAAUAAAGCCAUGCAUGUCACCAUCAUUUAUUGAUAUUAUAAAAUUAAUUAGGUAUUAAUAGACGACGGAUCUGAUAUAAAUAUUUAUCCCUUCUCCACGUUGGUCCAAAUGGGCUAUGAUCUGGGGAAAAUUCGUUAAAGCCACAUAAAUGUGAGAGCAUUCGAUGGAGGGUAGAGAGAUACCAUAGGAGAGAUUGAUUUGCACAUCCAAAUGGGGCCUGCUGAGUUUAAGACUAAAUUUCAUGUUAUGGAUAUCCAUCCUAGCUACAACCUGCUUUUGGGAAGACCAUGGAUACACGGGGCAAAGGCAAUUUCAUCACCCCUUCAUCAAUUAUUGAACUUCAUUUGGAAAGAUCAUGAAGUAGUCAUCUAAGGAGAAGAAAGUCGAGCGGACCGUCCCAAUGGUUAUGUGUCGGUGAUUGAAGAUGUUGCAAAAGGUAGAAGUUUCUAUACAGUGGAAAUUGUAAACAUUGUGGAAAGAGAUUCGACACCAAAAAAUCAAUGCCUUCUGUCUACAAAAUAAUUGCAACUGUGAUAUUAAGAAAUGGGUUUGAACCUGGUCGAGGCUUGGGCAAGAAUUUACAAGGAAUUAUUAAGCCUAUUAUGAUCCUAGAGAGAAGCUCUAAGCAUGGGUUAGGGUAUCAACCUACCAGAAAAUAUAGGGUUGAGGAUGAGCCAGAAAAGAGUCUGUUUAGGCCCUUGCCACUCCUGUUCCAGUCAUUUCUCGUACGAGAGAUGUCAGAUGAUAAUGUUCUUGGGGAUGGGAUAGGAGAUUUGUUUGAAGGAUGCAAUACUGUACUAGAAGAUCUCCCAAAGUCCAGCGGGGUGAAGUAGAUUACGCCAGGGGAGGAUUUGCAAAAUUAGACCUCCACUCCACUCAUAACCCGUCGCUCGUCGUGUAACAGUAGCUUAAAACCUGCCAACUGGUUGGAAGGAUGAUGAUGAGGAAUAGUUAGUUAAAGAUAUGGAAGAAUUUGAGAAUCGCGAAAAACCCAAUCUGGAAGAAACUGAAACAGUCAACUUGGGAGAUCACGACGCAAUCAAAGAGACCAGUAUAAGUGUCCACCUCGUGGUGACACAAAGGGAAAAGCUCAUCCACCUAUUGCAAGAGUAUAUCAACAUGUUUGCUUGGUCCUAUGAUGAUAUGCUAGGGUUGAGCACCAACAUUGUGUCACAUAAAUUGCCGAUAAAUUCUGAGUUUGAUCCAGUCAAGCAAGAACUGAGAAAAUUCAAGCCAGAUUUAAGUCUAAAGAUCAAGGAAAAAGUGACAAAACAAAUCCAAUCUAAGGUUGUCGAGGUCACAAAAUAUCCAACAUGGUUGGCCAACAUCGUCCCUAUUCCAAAGAAGGACGGCAAAAUUCGAAUUUGUGUUGACUAUAGAGACUUGAACAGAGCCAGUCCUAAAGAUAAUUUUCAUUGCCCAACAUCCAUAUUAUCAUCGAUAACUGUGCAAAACAUGAAAUGCAGUCAUUUGUUGAUUGUUUCACCGGCUAUCAUCAGAUACUGAUGGAUGAGAAAGAUGCAGAAAAAAUAGCUUUUAUUACGCCCUGGGGUGUUUAUCAUUACAGGGUAAUGCCAUUUGGUCUCAAGAACGCAGGUGUACAUAUAUGAGGGCCAUGGUGAUGAUUUUCCAUGAUAUAAUCCAUAAGGAGAUUGAGGUGUACGUGGAUGAUGUAAUUAUCAAAUCCCGCGAGAGUUCGGAUCAUCUAACUCAUCUGGAGAAAUUCUUCAACAGAUUAAGAAGGUACAGUUUGAAGUUAAAUCUUGCUAAGUAUACUUUUGGUGUGCCAUCAUGGAAGUUGCUGGGGUUCAUAGUCAGCAGAAGAGGGAUCGAGCUAGACCCAUCCAAAAUCAAGACAAUUCAAGACUUGCCACCGCCGAGGACCAAGAAAGAAGUUAUGAGUUUCUUGGGUCAUCUGAAUUAUAUUAGGAGAUUCAUCGCUCAAUCAACAGUCAUAUGCGAGCUAAUUCUCAAGAUUUUGAAGAAAAAUGCACUGAAUGAGUGGACAGAAGAAUGUCAGAGAGGUUUUGAUCGCAUCAAGGAAUACUUGUCUGCACCACCGGUUUUGGUCCCACCGAGAGAAGGAAUUCCAUUAUUGCUUUACCUGUCAGUCUCAGAAAAUGCUUUCGGAUGCGUCCUCGGGCAACAUGAUUUGACCGGCAGGAAAGAGAAAGCCAUUUACUACUUGAGUAAAAAGUUCACACCAUAUGAAGUCCGUUACACUCUUAUAGAAAGGACAUGUUGUGCUUUGACUUAGACGACACAAAAGUUGAGGCAUUAUCUGUCGUCCUACAUAACUUACCUCAUCUCGAGAAUGGAUCCAUAUAAGUAUAUAUUCCAGAAGGCUAUGCCUACAGGAAAGCUAACCAAGUGGCAAAUAUUGCUGAGUGAGUUUGACAUUGUGUAUGUAACCUAAAAAGCAAUCAAGGGGCAAGCCUUAGCAGAUUAUUUGGUUGAAAAUCCAGUUGAUGAGGAAUACAAGCCACUUUGGACAUACUUUCCAGACGAGGAAGUUUUGUUCGUAGGAGAAGAUAUCACAGAAAUCUACCCCGAAUAGAGGCUAUUUUUUGAUGGGGCGGUCAACUUCAAAGGUUCAGGAAUUGGAGCAGUUUUGGUGUCAGAAAUGGGUCAAAAUUAUCCGGUAACUACUAAGUUACGUUUUCCAUGCACCAAAAACAUGGCUGAAUAUGAAGCUUGCAUCCUGGGGCUCAAAUUGGCACUUGACAUGGGUGUUCGUGAAUUGCUAGCCAUCGGAGAUUCAGAUUUGCUGAUUCACCAGGUACAGGGAGAAUGGGAGGUAAAAAACGCCAAGAUUACUCCUUAUGUGGAGCUGGUGCAAGAAUUAUGCAAAAGAUUCAAGGAUGUUGAUUUCAGACAUAUCCCAGAGACACAAAACGAGUUUGCUGAUGCUUUGGCCACGAUAUCUUCCAUGAUUCAGCACCCGGAUCAGAGUUACAUCGAUCCUUUGGAAAUAAGCCUGAAGGAGCAACCCACGCAUUGCAUACAUAUGGAAGAGGAGCCUGAUGGAACGCCUUGGUACUAUGACAUUAAGCGGUAUUUGGAAUCUGGAAUAUAUCCUGAAGAGGCUAGUAACAACCAAAAGAAGACAAUCCGGCGUUUGGCAAAGAAUUACUUUCCAAGUGGAGAAAUUCUUUUUAGAAGGACUCUUGAUGUGGGAUUCCUAAGAUGCGUCGAUGCGGCGGAAGCUAAUAAGUUGAUAAACGAGGUACACGCUGGAGUUUGUGGGCCUCACAUGAAUGGGUUUGUCCUUGCCAGAAAGAUCCUGAGAACCGGUUACUUCUGGAUGACUAUGGAAAAUGAUUGUAGUAAGUUUUUGCAGAGAUGCCCAAAAUAUCAAAUACACGGAGAUCUGAUUUGAAUGUCUCCACACGAGCUUCACGCAAUGAAUUCUCCUUGGCCUUUCGUAGCUUGGGGCAUGGAUGUCAUUGGAUCAAUAGAGCCACUAGCAUUGAAUGGGCAUAGAUUUAUUUUGGUUGCCAUUGAUUAUUUCACUAAGUGGGUUGAAGCUGCUUCGUACAGAGCCGUCACUAAGAAAGUGGUUGCAGAUUUCAUCAAGAAUAACUUGAUUUGCCAAUUCGGAGUGCCGAAAUCGAUUAUUACUGAUAAUGAGGCAAACCUAAAUAGUCACUUGAUGAAAGAAAUUUGUGAUCAGUUCAAGAUUGUGCAUUACAACUCGACAACGUACCAUCCCCAAAUGAAUUAAGCUGUAGAAGCUGCUAACAAGAAUAUCAAGAAGAUCUUGAGAAAGAUGGUCGAAAAUGAUAGAUCAUGGUACAAGAUGUUACCUUACACCUUGCUAGGGUAUCGAAAAACAUUUCAAACCUCCACAGGAGCAACUCCCUAUUUACUAGUUUAUGGGAAUGAAGAUGUGAUACCCGCCGAGGUUGAAAUACCUUCCCUAAGGAUUAUUCAGGAGGUUGGACUGAGUAACGAAGAAUGGGUCCGUGCUCGCUAUGAACAAUUCAUGUUAAUUAAUGAAAAGAGAAUGGCCACUCUAUUCCAUGGUCAGCUGUAUCAACACAGGAUGGUUCGUGCCUUUAACAAGAAGGUAAGAUCUUGAGCUUUUGAAGUGGGGCAACUGGUUCUCAAACGAAUAUUCCCUCACCAAGAGGAGUACAAGGGCAAGUUCGCUCCAAACUGGCAUGGGCCAUACAUAGUUCUCAAGGUGCUAUCUGGAGGAGCUCUGACUUUGUCUGAGAUGGAUGGCACAGAGUGGACCAAACCAAUCAAUUCUGAUGCGGUAAAGAGAUAUUAUGUUUGAAUAACGUUCUAGUUUUUGUCUUUUCUAAGUUUGUUUGUAAUCACCUUUGUAAUAAUGUUGUUUGCUAGUGUGUAAUUGCCUAGAAUCCUUUCCCUUUAUGUACGAACUACGAUUGACCUAAAUUCCCAAGAAAGGGAUACGUAGGCGGCCUAUGUCGGCUUCGGUCAACCCCUUAGGAAAAUUUGUCCUUUCCCCCCUAUGUAUGAACUAUGUGAUGACCUAAAUUCCCAAUAAAAGGGAUAUGUAGGCGGCCUAUGUCGGUUUCGGUCAAUCUAUUAAUUUCUUUUGUAUAUCCCUAGCAUAGCCUGAACUACGUUUGACCUGAUUCCUACUUCAACGGGAUACGUAGGCGCCCCAACGGAUCAGUCAUAUAACCUUAGGAAAUGAAAACUGGGGCAGAAUUUUCGAGAAGGAAUCUCGAAAAUUCACAAGAGAAGAUAGACAUCCAACAAAGAGAAUGAAGAUCAGCAAAGAAUUCAGAUCCACUCAGAUUGGUAUUAUCUCAAACAAGUUUAAACUGGGGCAGAAAUUUUGGGGAAGACCUCAAAAUUUUCACCAAAUGCCAGAACAUAUUCCAAAUUCCCCAGCACCAGAGGUUAAAGCUUUGGAAACCACCAACUGUAACAAAGUCUGGGUAGACUCAAUUUUUGGCUAUGAUAGAACUACUUGAAGAAAUCCUUCAACAAUAAUCAUGAGUUUUGGAAACCAUCCAUCGGAUAUAGUCAGAACCGCGAGGAAGACAUUCAUUGACCUAGCACAUGACAUGACUGGCAUAAAUUUUCUAAAAUUUUACAGAAGUUUUCAAAAUUAUUUUCAAAAAUUUAAGACUAUUUUCAAAAAUCUUAUGAUUCACUUACUUAGUACUUGCCUAGACAUCAUUUGAGACAGAGUGUCAAGGUGGAAGUCUCAAUAUGGUGGAAUGCCUAAGAGAUGGCAAGGAGCAAAUCAAGGAUUGAAGAAGGUCAACAUGAAGUAAUUUCAUUCAACUAAUAAUUUUUCUGUGGAUGCAGGGAUCAAUACGCAAAAUGAGAGUCUCUUUCAAAAAUCCCUGAGCAAAUUGGGAGCCACAACAGAUCAUUAAUGCCCAAGAGCGGUAUUUUAGGACAACCCUAAAAAUAGGUUUAAUGCCCAUUUAUUGAGGACCUUUUGAUUUGUCCAUCUCAUUUCUUGAGAUCGUAGGCGAAAAACAAAAGCACUUUGUUUUAUUUACACGUAUCAUAUUUAGAAGUUUCCUAAAAAUAGUCGCUAGUAAAAGCGACUUUGUGUCUACUAAUCAUCUACCUUAAGUAUAAGUACAUGUAGAAAGUGGGAAACUGACAAAUGAAACCAGGUAAAAUUAUUUUAUCACUGCCACAAUGGCCAUUGCAUAUCAUUUCCACAAAGGCCAUCACAUAUCAUUGCCGCAAACGCCAUUACAUAUCUGUUAAUACGCUAGACACAAUGCUAGUAUCGAGGAUAUCAUCAACAUUCAAUAUCUGUUGACGCGCUAGACAUAAUGCUGGCAUCAAGGAUAUCAUCAUCAUUCAAUAUCUGUCGACACGCUAGACACAACGCUGGCAUCAAGGAUAUCAUCAACAUCCAAUAAAUCUAUCGACACGUUAGACACAACACUGGCGUAGAAGAUAUCAUCAGCAUCCAAUAUAUCUGUCGACACGCUAGACACAACGCUGGCAUCGAGGAUAUCAUCAGCAUCCAAUAUAUCUAUCGACAUGCUAGACAUAACGCUGGCGUAGAGGAUAUCAUCAGUAUCUAAUAUAUCUGUCGACAUGUUAGACAUAACGCUGGUGUCGAGGAUAUCAUCAACAUUCAAUAUCUGUUGAUGCACUAGACACAACACUGGCAUCGAGGAUAUCAUCAGUAUUCAAUAUAUCUAUCGACACGCUAGACACAACGAUGGCAUCGAGGAUAUCAUUAGCAUUCAAUAUAUCUGUUGACACGUAAGACACAACACUGGUAUCGAGGAUAUCAUCAUAUUUUUAUUAAUCAGCAUCUGAAUACAUUAAUAGAGCACGAUUUAGAGGGACGCCUUCAGGUUGCCAUCUAAGGAUGAAUGAUAUAUAAGAUUUCCUAGCAAUUGACAAUUUAAAGGUCAUCUAUAAGUCAUAUUAUUUGAAAUAGGAUAGUGUACAAGAUCACCUAUGAGUUGAUAGCCUAUAGGUCAUCCGUAAGCCACAAUAACAUCCUAANNNNNNNNNNNNNNNNNNNNNNNNNNNNNNNNNNNNNNNNNNNNNNNNNNNNNNNNNNNNNNNNNNNNNNNNNNNNNNNNNNNNNNNNNNNNNNNNNNNNNNNNNNNNNNNNNNNNNNNNNNNNNNNNNNNNNNNNNNNNNNNNNNNNNNNNNNNNNNNNNNNNNNNNNNNNNNNNNNNNNNNNNNNNNNNNNNNNNNNNNNNNNNNNNNNNNNNNNNNNNNNNNNNNNNNNNNNNNNNNNNNNNNNNNNNNNNNNNNNNNNNNNNNNNNNNNNNNNNNNNNNNNNNNNNNNNNNNNNNNNNNNNNNNNNNNNNNNNNNNNNNNNNNNNNNNNNNNNNNNNNNNNCCCUCGCAUCCAAUAUCAAAUAAUGCACAAGAUUAUCCAAAGAUUGACAAUUUAAGGAAAAUUUAUAAAUCAAUCAUCGGCUAUAACUGGAGAGUUCAUCAUUCCACAUACAACAAGUGAUAUAGGUAACCAAAAGGGUUGCCAUACCAGCAUAAAAUUUCACGGUUGUAAAGACUGUUUUGCAUAAAGUAUCGCCGGUGUCCAAAAGGGCUGCCCCACUUUGAAGACGUAUUAAACCGAUAAAUGUCAUAAUUAUACAACAACCAAGAGGAUUUUUGUUUUUGUUGUUUCCAGUUAUGCCAUUCCAAAUAGGUACCAUGAAGAGAUGACUCCACUUUUCAGGCCACAACUCACACGGAGAUAUGGUAAAAGACUACCUACAUCUUUUAUGAAUUAUUUUAGUACUAACACUUUUUGCUUGAGAAAUUGUUGAGAGCAUCCAAAAGGAUGAAAAUCUCAAAUCAAAACCACAGGUGCGGACAACUCCCAAAAGGACGCAACACGACGUGGAACUCUUUCUCAGCAGUAAAAUGGGACAUAGUCUAAAGAGGGACGUCAAACUCUUUGGACGCUAGCUAAAGGAUGAUCACCACCACCAUCCAACCACACCCCUAUUAGACGGGUUGUGGAUAUUUCAGGAUAUUGUGGUUUUAGCUUCACCUUCGGGAUAUUUUAAAACUCAUGCCGAGGGUAACUUUUUUUUUUUCAAAUUCAGGUGGCAACACACUUAGAGUUUUGGAAAUUAAGUCCAGGUAAGUUCUUGACUAUGGAUGUGAAGGAUCCCAUAUUCAUGGUCAGGAGGUUACAAGCCUCUUUUCUACAACUCAAUCAACUUGUCACUCAUUUCGAGCCAAAGAUGGUCUGAAAUAAAAGACUAUCUUUUCUACCGAUUGAGUCGAACCACAAGCAGUCUGAUUCCCUAAAAUCUUAGGGAUAUGUAGGCUGGGAUCUAUGUAUAAAACUCGACUGCAUUCCAACCUUCCCCCUAAUCCCUUUAUUCCCCAGUUUCUCGGUUUUAUCAAACACUCUAAAACUGAGAUAACUUAUGAUUUUUUUGAAAAUCGUGUUUUAAAUCAAGAUCUAUGAAGUAAAAGAGGCCUGAAUUCUCAUGUAACCUGGGAUAUAUAGGAAACCUAAUACCGAGGUCCGACCAUGACUCAAUGAAACUCGUGCAAAAACCAACCUCUUUUAGAUUCGAAUCUAUGGUCGGACAAAAAUUAGGAAUGUCAACCUCCCUUUGCCCAGGGUUACUUACAUCCACCCUACCAAAAGGGAGGGGGCAGCUGUUGACACCUAAUUUUUUACCUUCACGACUAAAUUUAAUCCUGAGUUUCUCCAGUUUUUAAUAAACCAAAAUAAUUAUUUCAUCCAAAUAAAAAAAAUUAAAAUAUUUUUGUACGUGAUUUUGUCAUUUUAAGUAGAGAUUAUAUACUAUCAUGUUCAGUUAUAUGAGAUUAUAUAAUUUUUACUUAAAUAUUUAUUUUACAAAAUAUCAGAUUUAGUUAAGGCUUAUCUUGAAAAUAAAUUCAAAUGAUUAAAAUCUUAAUUUAAAUAUAACUUAUUCUCAAAAAUAAUUUAUUUGGACAAAUAUGCAUUCAUUUUAUCAAAUCAAGAAGCUCGGGAUAAAAAACAAGUAUUAAAUUAAUUUAGCCAAUCUAUUAGAUUUGACCAUAAUUGAAAAUUGGUCAUAAUUGCAAUGCAAUUCGUCAAUUAAUUUUUAAUUUGGUCAAAAUAAAUAAAUAUGACUAAAUUUUAAAUUUCAAUUGGGGUUAUAUUUUAAGUAACCCCAAAAUUCUCAAGAACUCUCAUAACUUUUACCCAAUUCCCACCAAAAAAUAAAUUCAAAUUGCACUAUUCCCCCCAACUUUGUCCUUUUUGAAAUUCAAAGAUUGUACUAUUGUACUAUUUCCCCCCAAAUUAUCUUCCACCUCACCUUAUCUUUAAAUUUUUACAUUCCAAAAACCACCCUAAAUGCUUUUUCUCCCACAUUGGUAGAUGACAAAAAAUAAAUCUCUAUCCUUUCCUAUAAAUACUGUUCUCCCACAUUGGUGGAAAAAGGAAAAAAAUACCCCAUUCUCUCCUAUAAAUACUACCACUACUUUGGUAGAGAGAGGAGUGGAGAAGGAAGAAAAAAAAGGUUAGAAAUGUGAAAAAAUCCUUUUGAGCAAAAAUAGUUAUUUUUAUUUAGUAAAAAUUUUUGUUUCAAAAGUUGAUCGGCUAAUCAAAAUUUUUGAGUUGCCAGCGACGUUUUUCGGUGGUGGUUGAUUCCAACGAAGCUCGUAGUCUCGUUUUGCUACCCCAAAAAAGGUAAACACACCUUUUUUUAUUUUAGUUUUUAUUAUUGUUUUCUUCUUCAUCUUUUUUUUCUUCGUAGUUCGUAGAUAUAAUUUUGUUUGUUGGGAUUGUAUGCUGUAGAUGGACUUGAAGGCCCUAGGACGUUGUGGUAUCGAUAUUCUAAUUAUUUUUAUGUUCAUGAUAUAAAAAUGAGCUAGCAAUAGUUGUAUGUGCCUUUUUUUUACUUUAUUCUUUGAUUAUUUUGGAUAAAGUUUCAAUCUUUGCUUAAAAGAUGUAUUUAUGCUUUGUUUAAACUCAUUGUUGUUGGAUACAUUUACUUUUAGUGUGUAAAGUUAAUUUUUUUUAUGUUUAGAAGAAUAGUUAAUGUUGAAUGUUUUGCCUUUUCACCUUAUUCUUUGAUUAUUUGAAUGAAGUUUAGAUCUUUACUUGAAAAUAAUACUCAUGUCUUGUUUAAACUUAUUGUUGGUAGAUAUAUUUGUUUUUAGCAUGUAAAGUUAUUUCCUUUAUGUUGAAAAUAAUAGAUAAUAUUGAUUGUUUCUCCUUUUUUACUUUAUUCUUUGAUUAUUUUGNNNNNNNNNNNNNNNNNNNNNNNNNNNNNNNNNNNNNNNNNNNNNNNNNNNNNNNNNNNNNNNNNNNNNNNNNNNNNNNNNNNNNNNNNNNNNNNNNNNNNNNNNNNNNNNNNNNNNNNNNNNNNNNNNNNNNNNNNNNNNNNNNNNNNNNNNNNNNNNNNNNNNNNNNNNNNNNNNNNNNNNNNNNNNNNNNNNNNNNNNNNNNNNNNNNNNNNNNNNNNNNNNNNNNNNNNNNNNNNNNNNNNNNNNNNNNNNNNNNNNNNNNNNNNNNNNNNNNNNNNNNNNNNNNNNNNNNNNNNNNNNNNNNNNNNNNNNNNNNNNNNNNNNNNNNNNNNNNNNNNNNNNNNNNNNNNNNNNNNNNNNNNNNNNNNNNNNNNNNNNNNNNNNNNNNNNNNNNNNNNNNNNNNNNNNNNNNNNNNNNNNNNNNNNNNNNNNNNNNNNNNNNNNNNNNNNNNNNNNNNNNNNNNNNNNNNNNNNNNNNNNNNNNNNNNNNNNNNNNNNNNNNNNNNNNNNNNNNNNNNNNNNNNNNNNNNNNNNNNNNNNNNNNNNNNNNNNNNNNNNNNNNNNNNNNNNNNNNNNNNNNNNNNNNNNNNNNNNNNNNNNNNNNNNNNNNNNNNNNNNNNNNNNNNNNNNNNNNNNNNNNNNNNNNNNNNNNNNNNNNNNNNNNNNNNNNNNNNNNNNNNNNNNNNNNNNNNNNNNNNNNNNNNNNNNNNNNNNNNNNNNNNNNNNNNNNNNNNNNNNNNNNNNNNNNNNNNNNNNNNNNNNNNNNNNNNNNNNNNNNNNNNNNNNNNNNNNNNNNNNNNNNNNNNNNNNNNNNNNNNNNNNNNNNNNNNNNNNNNNNNNNNNNNNNNNNNNNNNNNNNNNNNNNNNNNNNNNNNNNNNNNNNNNNNNNNNNNNNNNNNNNNNNNNNNNNNNNNNNNNNNNNNNNNNNNNNNNNNNNNNNNNNNNNNNNNNNNNNNNNNNNNNNNNNNNNNNNNGUUGAUUUGGGUCCAAUGGCCUAAAUCCUUUACUUUCUCCUCCCUUCUCCUUUUAUGUGUUUAUUUGUUUAUUAGUUUUGUUUAGACUUAGUUAAAAUCCCUACUAAGUCGCCUAAGUUUAUUUUACACAAAUCUUUUUUUUGAAAAAAAAUCAAAUCACUAUUUCAACAAAUUACUCUUUUCGAAGUUAAUGAAAAGAGGAUUUUCAAACAGUCCGGAUAACCGGAAGUUAGCGGACGUUUUAGUUGCCUAACACCUUCCUAAAAUGUUAAUAGGAAUUGCUUAUCUAGAAUCUCUAACUUAAAUGAUUUUCCUAUUUUGAAUCGUUUGAAGUAACUUUUAUAAAGGUUUCUUAAUUUCUUUUCAAAAUUAAGGGGCGAUUCUCUUCAAAAGUCAAAAUUUCCGCAAAACAGAAGUGACGACUCAGCUGGGGAUCUUUAACUAGGUUCUAACCAAAUGAUUGAUUUCAUCUUUUGAUUAACUGUUUAUGUGUUCUGAUUAUGUAAAGUUUAAUUAUCGCAUCUCAUGGCAUAUUCCUGCAUCUUAUAAGCUGUUUUGGGGUUUCGUAGAUGUCCCGGCCCCUGUUGUUCAAUUCCAAAAUGUGUUGGAAAUACGAAUAGCUUAUCAGCACGUGAGUCAUCUGACGCUGUUCGUAUUUUCAAACUCAAGUUGUCCGCUUGAGAACCAAUUUUCAAACCCACUCUAGACACCUAGGAUAGAACGAAACUAAAACCCUAUUUUAGGCAUGAGCCUAGGACGACCCAAUACCCAAGCGGGGUAUUUGGCCGAUUAGAAUACCUGCCCUACGUCUAUUGACCCUGAGGCAAUUAUAGAUGAACCAUAUUUAUGUGUUAAAGAAAAUGUAUGUCUGUCUAGUUCAAUCCAUUAUCCUUUGGGGGUCGGGAAAAAGCUUGAUUUGCUUACUUUCGUAAGAAGAAUUGAAGCAAGUUAAGUAAGAAAUUGAUCCAUUUGGGAGGUUGCAUCUAAGGCACAAUUUGAGCGCCGACGGAUGUCACCAAUAUGAGAAGUAGACAAAGCUAAGAAGGCAAAGGCAGAUGAAGGAGCCUCCAGCAGCUAGUUUUUCUAUUCUCUCCUGCGCGGGAACUUAUCCUUUUUUAUGUUAUUUCCCUUUUUCUCAAAGAUUGUAUCCGUCUUUUAUUAUCGUUUGUACGCAUUUAUGCCCCCUUCGUAUCUAUAUAAGUUGGGGUAUAAUGGAUUGACUUUAGGGAAACAUAUACUUUCUUCAAAAAUUGUUAGGCCUUAACCCUUGGCUCAAAAAGGGUCACCCCAGUUAGGAUACACAUUAUUAUAAUAUUUUGUGUGCUUGUGGUGUUUGUUUGGAUCAAAGGCAAGUUUAUCCACUAUGCUCCUAUGGAUGAAUUUGUCUAGGACUCAAACAAUUCUAUAUGGUUAUUUUCUGUCAAAUAUUUUGCAUUACUUAUCACAUACGAAAACUAACAUAUCUGCCUUUGAGUUAUUUUACUUAAAAGAUAAUAGAAAUUACUCCAUGUUGAUAUAAGCUGACAGAACAUCCCCACAUCACCCGAUCGAAAGCGCACAAAAUCCCAUACUCUGACCAUCAUUCAAAAAUAAUGGGAAAUGAUGAAGAAAGCGCACUGACUAUCCGGGAUAAUGUGAUAGCGGAACAUAAUGAGAUGAUUGCGGAACUUGCAAGAAAGUUAGAAAUGCUUCAGGAAGAAAUAAAUUGCACUCGGGAUUUGGCUAACUUGGCCAUCACCAUCAAUGCUCCUGCUCCGGGAGAACAUGGGACUCCACUCCAAAUUUUCCCCCUCAGCACACCUAUUCUCGGGGAUCAACCGAAUAACGUAUCAUUCAGCUCCGCUCCUCCAUUUGUCCAAAAUACUAAUCAUGAAAAUAAUCCAAACGUCUACCAUCAGCAAAUCCAUCCGUAACCCCACAGAACCCACCUUCGAAUCCAUUCCCAAAUCCUUAAAACACAUUUCCAAAUCCUCAAAACACAUUUCCAAAUCCACAAGAUUCACUCCCAAAUCCACAAAAUACAUUAAACCUACCUUUGAAUCCACUAAAUUCAUGUCCAAAUCUGCGAAAUCCUUCUCAAAUUUUACCAAACUACUUACAAAGUCCACAGAGCCUUCCCAAUUUCCAAAACAUCCUUCCCACUUACCAACCAAAUUCCUUUCAUCCACAAAAUCAAGCCUCUCUUCUAAAUCCAUUUUAGGAUAUUGUAUCUCCUAACACCUAUGAAACCCCUUCUUAAUCCCGAGAUGGACCAUUAUGAGGAGAAGGAGAAAGAGUGAAAGGCCCAGCAUGAAAGGAAUUUACUAGCUAUGAAGGAAGAGAUCAUGAGGAUCAAAGAGUCUCAUAGAGCCAAGGACCACGACGGUUAGGGGUAUGACGAUUUACGUGUUCACCCGGGAGUAGAUCUACCAGAAGGGUACAAAGUCCCUAAGUUUGAGAUGUUUGACGGUAUCGGAAAUCCAAUGGACCGUCUAAGAAGGUACUAUGAGCAACUGGUAGGGAUAGGGAAAAACGAGGCGCUAUUGAUGCACCUAUUCAGUCGAAGUUUGAAUGGUGAAGCCUUGGAGUGGUUCAUGUCUCAGGAGCCAAAAAAUUUGACUGGUUGGAAAACAUUGGCCAAGGGUUUCCUUGAUCGAUUCGCAUUCAACAUCGAAAUAGUCCCUGACUGAUAUUCACUAGAUCGGAUCAAACAAAAGAGCGUUGAGAGUUUUUGAGACUAUGCUUUUCAUUAUAGGAAAGAAGCUGCCAAAGUGCAACCCCCAUGUCCGAGGAGGAAAUGGUAUUCGUGUUCUCUCGCACUCAAGAAGGAGAAUAUUAUACCAGGAUGGUGUCCACUGUCAGAGCAACCUUUGCGGAUUUGGUAAAAAUAGGAGAAUCAUUGGAAGAAGGUAUUCGGACAGGAAAAUUUGCCAAAACCCCGACAUCAUCUGGAACUACUAUGUUUUCUAAGAAGAAGGAGGAAGAGGUAGGUGGGAUUUCUGCCAAUUCUGUUAUAAAAUUGAAACAGCUGUUUAACUCUAGAAAUAUUUUAUCUUCCCCGCAAUCACCUAACCUUCCGUACGCAUUCUAAGUCCACCCCCAAUACCAAACUCCACUCCCAAACAUUCCACUAUCAUACCAAGCUCCAUAGCCAAAUAUCUUUCCCCAAUACUCUAUUCCACCUCCAAAUUAUCAGUCUCAUUUCCAAACUACUCCCCCAAAUAGUCAAAAAUUUUCCAAACACCUCCAAAUUACCACCAAGUACCCCCUCCUACAAACCUAAGCCCGUAUAACCCCCAGCGUCCAAACCACAAAAAGAAACCUCCCCAAAACUUCACCCCACUAGCUGAAAGUCGGACCCAAUUAUUUGAAAGAUUAAAGAAUGCUGGUCAUUUGCAACCAGUACAGCCAAAGCAUGUCAAUCCUAGCUCCCAAUUUUAUCACCCUAAUCAAAAUUGUGCCUAUCAUUCAGGGGCAGCAGGGCAUAGUAUCGAGGACUGCCUUAUCUUGAAACACAGAAUCCAAGAUCUGAUUGAUCAAAAGGUCAUCACGCUCCAGGAACCUACUCUAAAUGUUAGCAGUAAUCCACUGCCCAACCAUGAGGACCUACAGUUAACAUGAUUGAAAUAGAAGGCGAAUGGGAAUCUGGCAAGACCAUUACCCAGGUGAACUCCAAAAAGCGUAAAAAGGCGGAAGAGGUAGGAAAGAUAGAGAAACCUGUGGUUGCCUUAAGUAUCAACGAGAAAGCCCUAUUUAUAGUGAUGACUGGACCGACUCAAGUGUACGCUCCCCCUCCAAAGAAGGAAUUUAUUGUGCAAACCGCCGCUGCCCAGGGGAUGAUGCGAUCAGGACGAUGUUACAUCCCUGAGGAAUUGACCAACAAGAAAGAUUCAUAGAAAAGGCCAAUCACUGAAGGAGAGGCUAAGGAAUUUUGAAGGCGUAUGCAACCAAAGAAUUACUUAAUUGUCAAACACUUGGAGAAAACGUCAGCCCAAAUCUUUUUCUUGGCACUAUUAUUGAGCUCGCAAUAUCACUGAUAGGCUCUGUCGAAUGUCUUGGAGGAAGUGUAUGUUCCCAUAGGAACGAGCGUUGAUAAUUUGGCUGCGAUGAUAGGGAACAUUAUGGGGAACCAUCACAUAUAAUUUAGUGAUGAAGAGUUGCCGUUUAAAGGAGCAAUGCACAACGAAGUCAUGGAUGUCCUCGUCAUUUGUCGAGGUUAUACAAUUAAUCAAGUAUUAAUAGACGAUGGAUCUGAUGUGAAUAUUUUUCCCCUCUCCACGUUGGUCCAAAUAGGCUAUGAUCUGGGGAAAAUUCGUCAAAGUCACGUAAAUGUGAGAGCAUUCGAUGGAGGGCAGAGAGAUACUAUAAGAGAGAUUGAUUUGCAUAUCCAAAUGGGGCCUGCUGAGUUUAAGACUAAGUUUCAUGUUAUGGAUAUCCAUCCUAGCUACAACCUGCUUUUGGGAAGACCAUGGAUACACGGGGAAAAGGCAAUUUCAUCACCCCUUUAUCACUUAUUGAAGUUCAUAUGGAAAGAUCAUGAAGUAGUCAUCCAAGGAGAAGGAAGUCGAGCGGACCAUCCCAAUGGUUAUGUGCUGGUGAUUGAAGAUGUUCCAAAAGGUAUCAGUUUCUAUACAGUGAAAAUUGUAAAUGGUGCGAAAAAAGAUUCAACACCCAAAAAUCAAUGCCUUCUGUCUACAAAAUAUUGCAACUAUGAUGUUAAGAAAUGGGUUUGAACCAGGUCGAGGCUUGGGCAAGAAUUUAUAAGGAAUUAUCAAGCCUAUUGUGAUCCCAGAGAGAAGCUCUAAGCACGAGUUAGGGUAUCAGCCUACCAGAAAAGAUAGGGUUGUUUAGCCUCUUAGCACUCCUGUUCCAGUCAUUUCCCGUACGAGAGAUGUCAGAUGAUGGUGGUCUUAGGGAUGGGAUAGGAGAUUUGUUUGAAGGAUGCAAUGAUGUACCAGAAGAUCUCCCAGAGUCCAGUGGGGUGAAGCAAAUUGCGCCAGGGGAGGCUUUGCAAAAUUAGACCUCCACUCCACUCAUAACCCAUCGCCCGUCGUGUAAUAGUAGCUUAAAACCUACCAAUAUUGUGUCAUAUCAAAUCCUGAACGAACAAAAUAAAGAGGACAAUGAUGGUUAGAAGGACGAUGAUGAGGAAUGGUUAGGUAAAGAUAUGGGGGAAUUUGAGAAUCAUGAAAAACCCAAUCUAGAAGAAACUGAAACAGUCAACUUGGGAGAUCACGAUGAAAUCAAAGAGACCAGUAUCAGUGUCCACCUCGUGGUGCCACAAAGGGAAGAGCUCAUCCACCUGUUGCAAGAGUAUAUCGACGUGUUUUCUUGGUCCUAUGAUGAUAUGCCAGGGUUGAGCACCAGCAUUGUGUCACAUAAAUUACUGAUAAAUUCUGAGUUUGAUCCAGUCAAGCAAAAACUGAGAAAAUUCAAGUCAGAUUUAACUCUAAAGAUCAAGGAAGAAGUAACAAAACAAAUCUAGUCUAAGGUUGUCGAGAUCACAAAAUGUCCGACAUGGUUGGCCAACAUCGUCCCUGUGCCAAAGAAGGAUGACAAGAUUCGGAUUUGUGUUGACUAUAGAGACUUGAACAGAGCCAGUCCUAAAGAUAAUUUUCCAUUGCCCAACAUCCAUAUUCUUAUUGAUAACUGUGCGAAACAUGAAAUGCAGUCAUUCAUUGAUUGUUUCACCGGCUAUCAUCAGAUACUGAUGGAUAAGGAAGAUGCAAAAAAAAUAGCUUUUAUUACGCCCUGAGGUGUUUAUCAUUACAAGGUAAUGCCGUUUAGUCUCAAGAAUGCAGGUGCAACAUAUAUGAGGGCCAUGACGAUGAUUUUUCAUGAUAUGAUCCAUAAGGAGAUUGAGGUGUACGUGGAUGAUGUAAUUAUCAAAUCCCGCGAGAGUUCGGAUCAUCUAACUCAUCUGGAGAAAUUCUUUAAUUAAGAAGGUACAGUUUGAAGUUAAAUCUUGCUAAGUGUACUUUUGGUGUGCCAUCAAGGAAGUUGCUGGGGUUCAUAGUCAGCAGAAGGGGGAUCGAGCUAGACCCAUCCAAGAUCAAGACAAUUCAAUACUUGCCACCGCCGAGGACCAAGAAAGAAGUUGUGAGUUUCCUGGGUCGUCUGAAUUACAUUAGCAGAUUCAUCGCUCAAUCAACAGUCAUAUGCGAGCCAAUUCUCAAGAUGUUGAAGAAAAAUGCACUGAAUAAGUGGACAGAAGAAUGUCAGAGAGCUUUUGAUCACAUCAAGGAAUACUUGUCUGCACCACCAGUUUUGGUCCCAGUGAGAGAAGGAAUUCCAUUAUUUCUUUACCUGUCAGUCUAAAAAAAGGCUUACAGAUGCAUCCUCAGGAAACAUGACGAGACCGGCAAGAAAGAGAAAGCCAUUUACUACUUGAGUAAAAAGUUCACACCAUAUGAAGCCCGUUACACUUUUAUAGAAAAGACAUGUUGUUCUUAGACUUGGAUGACACAAAAAUUGAGGCAUUAUCUAUCGUCCUACACAACUUACCUCAUCUUGAGAAUGGAUCUAUUGAAGUAUAUAUUCCAGAAGGCCAUACUUACAGGAAAGCUAGCCAAGUGGCAAAUAUUGCUGAGUGAGUUUGACAUUGUGUAUGUAACCCAAAAAGCAAUCAAAGGGCAAGCCUUAGCAGAUCAUUUGGCUAAAAACCCAGUUGAUGAGGAAUACGAUCCACUUUGGACAUACUUUCUAGACAAGGAAGUUUUGUUAGUAGGAGAAGAUAUCAUGGAAAUCUACCCCGGAUGGAGGCUAUUUUUUUAUGGGGCGGUCAACUUUAAAGGUUUAGGAAUUGGAGCAGUUUUGGUGUUAGAAACGGGCCAAAAUUAUCCGGUAACUGCUAAGUUACAUUUUCCAUGCACCAACAACAUGGCUGAAUAUGAAGCGUGCAUCCUGGGGCUUAAAUUGACACUUGACAUGGGUGUUUGUGAAUUGUUAUCCAUUGGAUAUUCAGAUUUGCUGAUUCACCAGGUACGGGGAGAAUGGGCGGUAAAAAACUCCAAGAUUACUCCUUAUGUAGAGCUGGUGCAAGAAUUAUGCGCAAGAUUCAAGGAUGUUGAUUUCAGACAUAUCCCACAGACACAAAACGAGUUUGCUGAUGCUUUGGCCACGAUAUUUUCCAUGAUUCAGCACCCGGAUCAGAGUUACAUCGAUCCUUAGGAAAUAAGCCUGAAGCAGCAACCCGCGCAUUGUAUACACGUGGAAGAGGAGCCUGAUGGAAGGCCUUGGUACUAUGACAUUAAGAGGUAUUUGGAAUCUGGAAUAUAUUCUGAAGAGGCUAGUAAUAACCAAAAGAAGACAAUCCGGAGUUUGGGAAAGAAUUGCUUUCCAAGUGGAGAAAUUCUUUUCAGGAGGACUCCUGAUUUGGGAUUCCUAAGAUGCGUUGAUGCGGCGAAAGCCAAUAAGUUGAUAAACAAGGUACACGCUAGAGUUUGUGGGGCCCACAUUAAUGGGUUUAUCCUUGCCAGAAAGAUCCUGAGAACCGGUUACUUCUGGAUGACUAUGGAAAAUGAUUGUAGUAAGUUUGUACAGAGAUGUCCAAAAUGUCAAAUACACGGAGAUCUGAUUCGAAUGUCUCCACACGAGCUUCACGUAAUGAAUUCUCCUUGGCCUUUCAUAACUUGGGUCAUGGAUGUCAUCAGACCAAUAGAGCCACUAGCAUCGAAUGGGCAUAGAUUUAUUUUGGUUGCCAUUGAUUAUUUCACUAAGUGGGUCGAAGUUACUUCAUACAGAGCCAUCACUAAGAAAGUGGUUGCAGAUUUCAUCAGGAAUAACUUGAUUUGCCGAUUUAGAGUGCGGAAAUUGAUUAUUACUGAUAAUGGGGAAAACCUAAACAGUCACUUGAUGAAAGAAAUUUAUGAUCAGUUCAAUAUUAUGCAUCGCAACUCGAUAGCGUACCAUCCCCAAAUGAAUGGAGCCGUAGAAGCUGUUAACAAGAAUAUCAAGAAGAUCUUGAGAAAGAUGGUCGAAAAUGAUAGAUCAUGGCACGAGAUGUGACCUUACGCCUUGCUAGGGUAUCGAACAACAGUUCGAACCUCCANNNNNNNNNNNNNNNNNNNNNNNNNNNNNNNNNNNNNNNNNNNNNNNNNNNNNNNNNNNNNNNNNNNNNNNNNNNNNNNNNNNNNNNNNNNNNNNNNNNNNNNNNNNNNNNNNNNNNNNNNNNNNNNNNNNNNNNNNNNNNNNNNNNNNNNNNNNNNNNNNNNNNNNNNNNNNNNNNNNNNNNNNNNNNNNNNNNNNNNNNNNNCAAUCAAUUCUGAUGCGGUAAAGAGAUAUUAUGUUUGAAUGACGUUCUAGUUUUUGUGUUUUCUUAGUUUGUUUGUAAUCACCUUUGUAAUAAUGUUGUUUGCUAGUGUGUAACUUCCUAGAAUCCUUUCUCUUUAUGCACGAACUACGUUUGACCUGAAUUUCCAAGAAAGGGAUACGUAGGCGGCCUAUGUCGGCUUCGGUCAACCCCUUAGGAUAAUUAUCCUUUCCCCUCUAUGUGUGAACUACGUGAUGACCUGAAUUCCCAAUAAAAGGGAUACGUAGGUGGCCUAUGUCGGCUUUGGUCAACCCAUUAAUUUCUUUUGUAUAUCCCUAGCAUAGCCUGAACUACGUUUGACCUGAUUCCUACUUCAACGGGAUUCGUAGGCGCCCCAACGGGUGGUCAUAUAACCCUAGGAAAUGGAAACUGGAGCAGAAUUUUUUAGAAGGAAUCUCCAAAAUUCACAAGAGAAGAUCGACAUCCAACAAAGAGAAUGAAGAUCAGCAAAGACUUCAGAUCCACUCAGAUUGGUGUUAUCUCAAACAAGUUUAAACUGGGGCAGAAAUUUUGAGGAAGACCUCAAAAUUUCCACCAAAUGCUGGAACAUAUUCCAAAUUCCCCAGCACCANNNNNNNNNNNNNNNNNNNNNNCCUCCAACAAUAAUCAUGAGUUUUGGAAACCAUUCAUCGGAUAUAGUCAGAACUGCGAGGAAGACGUUUAUUGAGCUAGUACAUGACAUGACUGGCAGAAAUUUUCUAAAAUUUUACAGAAGUUUACAAAAUUAUUUUCAAAAAUUUAAGACUAUUUUCAAAAAUCUUACGACUCACUUACUUAGUACUUGCCUAGACAUCAUUUGGGAUAGAGUGUCAAGGUGGAAGUCUUAAUAUGGUGGAAUGCCCAAGAUAAAUUAGGAGCCACAACAGAUCAUUAAUGCCUAAGAACGGUAUUUUAAGGCAGCCCUAAAAAUAGUUUUAAUGCCCAUUUAUUGAGGACCUUUUGAUUUGUCCAUCUCAUUUCUUGAGAUCGUAGGCGACAAACAAAAGCACUGUCUUCUUUACACGCAUUGUAUUUAGAAUUUUCCUAAAAAUAGUCGCUAGUAAAAGCGACUUUGUGUCUACUAAUCGUCUACCUUGAGUACAGGUACAUGUAGAAAGUGGGAUAUUGACAAAUGAAGCUAGGUAAAAUUAUUUUAUCACUGCCACAAUGGCCACUGCAUAUCAUUGCCGCAAAGGCCAUCACAUAUCAUUGCCACAAAGGCCAUUACAUAUCUGUUGAUGCACUAGACACAAUGCUGGCAUCGAGGAUAUCAUCAGCAUUCAAUAUCUGUUAACGUGCUAAACACAAUGCUGGCGUCGAGGAUAUCAUCAUCAUUCAAUAUCUGUCGACAUGCUAGACACAACGCCGGCGUCAAGGAUAUCAUCAGCAUCCAAUAUAUCUAUCAACAUACUAGACACAAUGCUAGCGUCGAGGAUAUCAUCAGCUUCCAAUAUAUCUAUCAACACGCUAGAAACAACGCUGGCAUAGAGGAUAUCAUUAAUAUCUAAUAUAUCUGUCGACAUGCUAGACACAAUGCUGGCAUCAAGGAUAUCAUCAGCAUUCAAUAUCUGUUGACGCACUAGACAUAAUGCUGGGGUCGAGGAUAUCAUCAGCAUUUAAUGUAUCUGUUGACACGCUAGACACAACGCUAGCAUCGAGGAUAUCAUUAGUAUUCAAUAUAUCUAUUGACACGCAAGACACAACACUGGCGUCGAGGAUAUCAUCAUUUUUUCAUAAAUCAGCAUCUAAAUACAUUAAGAGCGCACGAUUUGGAGGGACGCCUUCAGAUCUCCAUCUAAGGAUGAAUGAUAUAUAAAAUUUCCUAGCAAUUGACAAUUUGAAGGUCAUAUAUAAGUCAUAUUAUUUAAAAUAUGAUAGUGUGCAAGAUCACCUAUGAGUUGAUAGCCUAUAGGUCAUCUGUAAGCCACAAUAACAUCCUAACCGAAUACUGUGAAAAAUCGCCCAAAAGUUGAUAGUUCAAAGGUUAUUCGUAAGUCGCAACUAAAUCCUUCCCGGAGGAUAUGUAAGAUUGUCAAAUUGAUACGUCCAAGGAUUCUCUAUAAGCCGCGUCAUAUCCAAGAUCGAUUAUGUGCAGGAUUACCCAAAGACGAUCAAUUUGAGGGAGUAUCUAUAAGUCAUAUUGUAUCCAAGGUCAGAUGAUGUAUAGGAACACCUGAAAGCUAGCGAUUGGAGGAGUAUCUGUAAGUCAUCUCUUAUCCAAAGUCAGAUGAUGUGCAGGAUUACCUAAAAGCUAGAAAUUUAAAGGAUAUCUGUAAGUCACCUCGCAUCCAAUAUAUAAUAAUGCACAAGAUUAUCCAAAGAUUGACAAUUUAAGGAAAAUUUAUAAAUCAAUCAUAGGCUAUAACCGGAGAGUUCGUCAUUCCACAUAUAACAAGUGAUAUAGGUAACCAAAAGGGUUGUCACACCAGCACAAGAUUUUACGGUUGUAGAGACCAUUCUGCAUAAAGUACCACUGGUGUCCAAGAGGGAUGCCCCACUUUGAAGACGUAUUAAACCGAUAAAUGUCAUAAUUAUAUAACAACCAAGAGGGUUUUUGUGUUUGUUGUUUCCAGUUAUUUUAUUCCAAACAGGUACCAUGAAGAGAUAACUCCACUUUUCAGGCCAUAACUCACACGGAUAUAUGGUAAAAGACUACCUACAUCUUUCAUGAAUCAUUUUAGUACUAACACUUUUUUCUUGAUAAAUUUUCGAGAGCAUCCAAAAGGAUGAAAAUGUCAAAUCAAAACCACAGGUGCGGAUGACUCCAAAAAGGACGCAACACGACGUGGAACUCAUUCUCAGCAGCAAAAUGGGACAUAGUCUAAAGAGGGACGUUAAACUCUUUGGACGUGAGCUAAAGAAUGAUCACCACCACCAUCCAACCACACCCCUAUUACAAGGCUUAUGGGUAUUUCAGGAUAUUCUGGUUUUAGCUUCACCUUCGGGAUAUUUUUAAACUCAUGUCGAGGGUGACCUUCUCUUUUUUUCAAAUUCGAGUGGAAACACACUUAGAGUUUUGGAAAUUAUGUCCAGGUAAGUUCUUGAAUAUGGAUGUGAAGGAUCCCACAUUCAUGGUCAAGAGGUUACAAUCCUCUUUUCUACAACUCGAUCAACUUGUCACUCAUUCCGAGCCAAAGAUGGUCUGAAAUAAAAGACUAUAUUUUCUACUGAUUGAGUUGAACCACAAGCAGUCUGAUUCCCUAAAAUCUUGGGGAUAUGUAGGAUGGGAUCUAUGUAUAAAACUCGACUGCAUUCCAACCUCCCCCCUAAUUCCUUUAUUCCCCAGUUUCUCGGUUUUAUCAAACACUCUAAAACUGAGAUAACUUGUGAAUUUUUUGAAAAUCGUGCUUUAAAUCAAGCUCUAUGAACUACAAGCGGCCUGAAUUCUCAUAUAGCCUGGGAUAUGUAGGAAACCUAAUACCGAGGUCCGGCCAUGACUCAAUAAAACUCGUGCGAAAACCAACCUCUUUCAGAUUUUCGAAUCUAUGGUUGGACAAAAAUUAGGAAUGUCAACCACCCUUUGCCCAGGGUUACUUACAUCCACUCUACCCAAAGGGAGGGGGCAGUUGUUGACACCUAAUUUUUGACCUCCACGACUAAAUUUAAUCCUGAGUUUCUUCAGUUUUUAAUAAACCAAAAUAAUUAUUUCAUCUAAAUAAAAAAAAAGUUAAAAUAUUUUUUUUACAUGAUUUUGUCAUUUUAAGUAGAGAUUAUAUACUAUCAUGUUCAGUUAUACGAGAUUAUAUAAUUUUUACUUAAAUAGUUAUUUUACAAAAUAUCAGAUUUAAUUAUGGCUUAUCUUGAAAAUAAAUUCAAACGAUUAAAAUCUUAAUUUAAAUAUAAUUUAUUCUCAAAAAUAAUUUAUUUGGAUAAAUAUGCAUUCAUUUUAUUAAAUCAAGAAGCUCAGGAUAAAAAAAAAAGUAUUAAUUUAAUUUAGCCAAUCUAUUAGAUUUGACCAUAAUUAAAAAUUGGUCAUAAUUGUAAUGCAAUUCGUCAAUUAAUUUUUAAUUUGGUCAAAAUAAAUAAAUAUGACUAAAUUUUAAAUUCCAAUUGGGGUUAUAUUUUAAGUAACCCCAAAAUUCUCAAGAACUCUCAUAACUUUUACCCAAUUCCCACCAAAAANNNNNNNNNNNNNNNNNNNNNNNNNNNNNNNNNNNNNNNNNNNNNNNNNNNNNNNNNNNNNNNNNNNNNNNNNNNNNNNNNNNNNNNNNNNNNNNNNNNNNNNNNNNNNNNNNNNNNNNNNNNNNNNNNNNNNNNNNNNNNNNNNNNNNNNNNNNNNNNNNNNNNNNNNNNNNNNNNCCCCAUUCUCUGCUAUAAAUACUACCACUACUUUGGUAGAGAGAGGAGGGGAGAAGAAAGAAAAAAAAAGGCUAGAAAGGUGAAAAAAAUCCUUUUGAGCAAAAAUAGUUAUUUUUAUUUAGUAAAAAUUUUUGUUUCAAAAGUUGAUCGGCUAAUCAAAAUUUGAGUUGCCAGCGACGUUUUUCGGUGGUGGUUGAUUCCAAAUUCGGCUAAUCAUCUUUUUUCUUCUUUGUAGUUCGUAGAUAUAAUUUUGUUUGUUGGGAUUGUAUGCUGUAGAUGGCCUUGAAGGCCCUAGGACGUUGUGGUAUCGAUAUUCUAAUUAUUUUCAUGUUCAUGAUAUAAAAAUGAGCUAGCAAUAGUUGUAUGUGCCUUUUUUUACUUUAUUCUUUGAUUAUUUUGNNNNNNNNNNNNNNNNNNNNNNNNNNNNNNNNNNNNNNNNNNNNNNNNNNNNNNNNNNNNNNNNNNNNNNNNNNNNNNNNNNNNNNNNNNNNNNNNNNNNNNNNNNNNNNNNNNNNNNNNNNNNNNNNNNNNNNNNNNNNNNNNNNNNNNNNNNNNNNNNNNNNNNNNNNNNNNNNNNNNNNNNNNNNNNNNNNNNNNNNNNNNNNNNNNNNNNNNNNNNNNNNNNNNNNNNNNNNNNNNNNNNNNNNNNNNNNNNNNNNNNNNNNNNNNNNNNNNNNNNNNNNNNNNNNNNNNNNNNNNNNNNNNNNNNNNNNNNNNNNNNNNNNNNNNNNNNNNNNNNNNNNNNNNNNNNNNNNNNNNNNNNNNNNNNNNNNNNNNNNNNNNNNNNNNNNNNNNNNNNNNNNNNNNNNNNNNNNNNNNNNNNNNNNNNNNNNNNNNNNNNNNNNNNNNNNNNNNNNNNNNNNNNNNNNNNNNNNNNNNNNNNNNNNNNNNNNNNNNNNNNNNNNNNNNNNNNNNNNNNNNNNNNNNNNNNNNNNNNNNNNNNNNNNNNNNNNNNNNNNNNNNNNNNNNNNNNNNNNNNNNNNNNNNNNNNNNNNNNNNNNNNNNNNNNNNNNNNNNNNNNNNNNNNNNNNNNNNNNNNNNNNNNNNNNNNNNNNNNNNNNNNNNNNNNNNNNNNNNNNNNNNNNNNNNNNNNNNNNNNNNNNNNNNNNNNNAAGAUGUUUAUUCUUCUUUGUUCGCAUGUUGUCUUUUCAAAAUGAUAAGAAAGUUCGAAUUUUUGCGGCUAAACAAAAUUAUUUGGAUAUUUUUGACUCAUGCAUAGUAUGAUUGUGAAACUUUUGCUUUGCAUUUUUUAUUUGUUGACUCUCAUUCUUGUGCAAGUGUGCUUAUUCUUGUCAUUCAAAAAUUGGUUCUUGAUAGUUUCUUUUACUUUGAAAUAUGUCACUUUUAUGCCUUGAACAUAUAUUAAUUUCUUUAUCUUUUCUUUGCAUGCAAAAAAAUAUCUCGAGGUCAAAUGGACUCCUCUCCUCUUGCAUUUCAUAAUGGGUAAAUGAGGCUCACCCCUUCAAGUCAAGUUCGAAGUUUAAACUCAAGGUCCACUACAUGGCGUGCGGGUGCUAGAAGAUAGAUGAAGAAGGAAAAUGGGUCAAAACCUAUUGAUGAGGUCACUAAGAGACUUGAGAAGUCUCAAUUUUUAUUAUUGUCUUCUUUCUAUUUAUUCAUUUAGUCAUUUAUUUAUUCAUUCAUUCAUUUCGGCCUCGAAUCCAAAGUAGUAUUUAAUACAGGUGGAGCAAGACUCGAGCCAAAGGCUCUAAAAAUAGUUUAGGACAGGUGAAAUGGGUCGGAAGCCUAACUAGACUAGGACAGGUGUUACUGAUUUGGGUCCAAUGGCCUAAAUCCUUUACUUUCUCCUCCCUUCCCCUUUUAUGUGUUUAUUCUUUUAUUAGUUUUGUUUAGACUUAGUUGAAAUCCCUACUAAGUCGCCUAAAUCUAUUUUACACAAGUCUUUUUUUUAAAAAAAAUCAAAUCACUAUUUCAACAAAUUAAUCUUUUCGAAGUUAAUCAAAAGAUGAUUUUCAAACAGUCCAGAUAACUGCAAGUUAGCGGACGUUUUAGGUGUCUAACACCUUCCUAAAACAUUAAUAGGAAUUGCUUAUCUAGAAUUUCUAACUUAAAAUAAUUUUUCUGUUUUGAAUCGUUUGAAGUAACUUUUAUAUAGGUUUCUUAAUUCCUUUUCAAAAUUAAGUGGCGACUCUCUUCAAAAGUCAAAAUUUCUGCAAAACACCAGCAAAUGAAAGAAAUAUGAUCGUUAUUCAAUACAAAGAAAAGGAAGUCUAUCAACCAACAGACUGCUGGAUUCCUGAGAGUAUUCAGAUUUGGAAAAGGAUGCAUCUCAGAGGCAUGGUAAAGUGGAAAUUCAUUGUUCGAGUCAAAACUCAUUUCCCUCUAUCUGGAUCUGGGUCAAUGAUGUGACAAGACAAGGACAAGUUUCAGUGAUCUGAAAUAAAGGUGAAAGGAACAACGGUUGGAGCAGAUGCCUGGGAAGCCAAGUGCUGCAAGCCACCACUAAUUUUUUAACUGACAAAUUUUCUUUGUUGAAAUAGGGGCAAAUUCACUUCACUUAAUUUAGUUACCAUUAGAAAAACACAUCCAUGAGGACUUUACUUUCUGUUCAGGACCCUUCUGAAAAAUAGGAUUUUAUUUUCUGCUAAGGACCCUCCUGAGAAAUGGGACUUUACUUUCUGUUCAGGACCUCAUGAAAAAUGAGAUUUACUUUUUGUUCAGGACCCUUUUGAAAAAUAGGACUUUACUUUCUGUUCAGACCCCUCCUGAAAAAUGGGACCUUAUUUUCUGUUCAGGACCCUCCUGAAAAAUGGGAUUUUACUUUCUGUUUAGGACCCUCCUAAAAAAUGAGAAUUUACUUGGGAUUUAAUUUUUGUUCAGGACCCUCCAGAAAAAUGGGACUUUACUUUCUGUUCAGGCCCCUCCUGAAAAAUGGGACUUUACUUUCUGUUUAGGACCCUCCUGAAAAAUGGGACUAUACUUUCUGUUCAGGACCCUCCUAAAAAAUGAGAUUUUACUUUCUGUUCAGGACCCUCUUAAAAAUGGGAUUUUACUUUCUGUUCAGGACUCUCCUGAAAAAUGAGAUUUUACUUUCUGUUCAGGCCUCUCCUGAAAAAUGGGAUUUUACUUUUUGUUCAGGACCCUUCUGAAAAAUUGGAUUUUGGUUUCUGUUCAGGAACCUCCUGAAAAAUGGGACUUUGCUUCAAGUUCAGGACCCUCUUGGAAAAUGGGAUUUUACUUUCUAUUCAGGCCCUUUCUGAAAAAUAGGGUUUUACUUUCAUGCUUAGGACCCUCUUGAAAAAUGGGACUUUACUUUCAUGUUCAGGACCCUCCUAAAAAAUGGGAUUUUACUUUAUGUUCAGGACCCUCCUGAAAAAUGAGGUUUUACUUUCAUGUUUAGGACCCUCCUGAAAAAUGGGACUUUACUUUCAUGUUCAGGACCCUCCUGAAAAAUGGUAUUUUACAUUAUGUUCAGGACCCUCCUAAAAAAUUGGAUUUUAUUUUUUGUUCAGGAAUCUCCUGAAAAUGGGAUUUUACUUUAUGUUCAGGACCCUCCUGAAAAAUGAGAUUUUAUUUUCUAUUUAGGACCCUCCUGAAAAAUGGAAUUUUAUUUUCUGUUCAAGACUCUCCUGAAAAAUGAAAUUUUAUUUUUUGUUCAGGACCCUCCUGAAAAAUGAGAUUUUACUUUCUGUUCAGGACCCUCCUGAAAAAUGAGAUUUUACUUUCUGUUCAGGACCCUCCUGAAAAAUGAGAUUUUAUUUUCUGUUCAGGACCCUCCAAAAAAUGGGAUUUUACUUUCUGUUUAGGACCCUCUUAAAAAAUGAGAUUUUAUUUUCUGUUUAGGACCCUCCUAGAAAAUGGGACUUUACUUUCAUGUUCAGGACCCUCUUGAAAAAUGGGACUUUACCUUCUGUUCAGGACCCUCGUGGAAAAUGGGACCACACUUUCAAAAAUGAAAAAUUGCUUUACUAUAAUCUUUGUUUGGGAUAAUUUUUGUUCUAGUUUUAAUUCUGGUUUCAAGAGCCCACCUGAAGAACAGGGUAAUGAAAUUACAAGUUAGGAACCAGUCAGAGGAACAGGAUGAAGAAGCUGAAAGUCAAGCAAUAAGGUGAAGAAAUUAAAAGUUAAAAAUAGCAAGUCAGGAGUCCACCUGGAGAACAGGGUGAAACAAUUGAAAGUUAAGCAAUAAGGUGAAGCAAUUGAAAGCCAAACAACAAGUUGAGGAAAUUGCAAUUCAGGAACCCCCCUGAAAAAUAGGUUGAUAAAACUAGAAUCAAGAGUCAAGGAAUGCUGCAUAGAUAGGAUUUUGUAAUUUCAUUUAUGUUUUAAAUUGUAAUUUUCAUUCUUUGAUGUAAUGAUAGCGCCGCGGACCGGAACCUCGAUGGAACCUCACUCGACUCUCCAACUCGGUAAGUCUACCUCCUUCCGAUCUUUUAAGAUACCCAUCACUAGAUUCCCUCAUAAAUUGGGUAAGUAGGGUGUCCUAAGUCAAGACACGGUUGCCUUUCUUUCUUCUAUUUCUUUCUUCAAAUAAUGAUUGGGACAAAAUUCUAUCUCGUUGUCUACUUCUUUGUAUGAAAACACUUGGUGUUUACAUUCAAAGGGGCAUGAUGUAGACACGCAAUUUUGUCCCGUCAAUAAUAUUUCUUAUUCCGAUAUCACACAAUUUAACCCCAUUUAUAAUUUUUCCCAAGAAAAUAAAUAACCACCUUAUCUUUUACUUAUUUAUGUAUUUAUUUUUUGUUUUGUCUUAUCCAAAUAACAAGUGAUAACAAACUUUGUCUCAUUCUAAUAUUCAAACAACCCACCCAAUAAAAAAUUGACACUUAACCUCUACCCUUCCAAUUAAAAAGCAACACCUCACCUCUCACCUAACCACCCUUACCCCUAUCCCACGUGGCCCCUCUUUUUCUUAGCCAUAAAGAAAAUAUACAUAAAGGGGAACUUCUAGAAAAUUUCCCUGGACUAAGACUCAUACCCCCACAAGCAUAUUCCCUCAACAAGAAUACUCACUGUCACUCUCAAGGAAAGGAACCUACUGGAGUUCUCACCAAAGCAAUAUAUACAAUGAUAUAUACACUCACAGGGGAUGGGUAAGGGGGGACAUACCCACAACUCUAUUUUCCUCCAUUUUUUCUUUAUUUAAGCACACACAACGUACAUAGCCACUGGAAACAUGCACAGAUCAGAGAGGAAAGAGAUCGAUGGUGAUCAAAAUUUAGAGAAAAAUAGACUAGGAAGAGAGAGCAUGCAACACCAGUGAGAUAAAAUCGAUCGAAAAAGGGAAAAAACUCCAGCGAGUGAAUAAAAAUCACGGAGGUUGAUGAAAAUCAGGCCAGUGUAGAUUUUUUCCAGCUAAUCUCUCGCCGGAAUACACUUCUCAUCGCCGAAAUCGCACGAUUCAAUUCGAUUCUAUGAAUUUUUACAUACGGGUUUGGGUAUUUGUCAUGAUUUUAUUUCGGACACUUCGGUUUGCUCAUACUGGUUUGGGUUUAGGAUUCCAUUUGUCUUAAUUGGUUCAUCCCGUCAUUUAGUGGUCCAACUGUUUCUAUUUUCUUCUUGGUUUAUAUCUGCCCACUGCUAUUUCUCAAUAUCGGGUUGAUUUCGUUCGAGUUGAGGCGGGUUAGUCGAUCGAGGUUUUCGGGUCCGAUUCUAUCACCCAAUUGCAUAAUUUACACAAUAAAGCUCGAUUUGAGGUCCAAUUAUAUCUCGUUCUUAUUUUGAUUUCAUUAUAUACACGUGAUUGGUUUGUGUGAAGCAUGAUAUAAAUACUUAGGUGAUAUCGAUUUAUUUGUUUGGUUUUGUUGAUAACGAUUGUGGAUUGUUAAAGUAGUGAUCAUGAAUUGUUGGAAUUUUGAGAAUUAAUUUAGGGGUGAGAAUUGAAAACUUGAUAUAAUUGGUGAAUUUUAGUUAAUUUGAUUCAUUGGUUGUUUGACUUGAAAUGAACGUUAAUUGAACUUGGUAGUAUGAUGAUACGUCGAUUGGUGUAGGCAAACAUAGGAUGGGUAGGCAAAGUUUAGAAUUUGUGGCUUUGGUUGAAUAUUGGAAAUUCCGUGGAAUGUUUGAAAUUUUGUUGAAUAGUUUGAUUUUCUCACACUAAAAAUGUAUUGAUUUAGACGGGGAAUGGCUCGACGAAUUUGUAUUAAUUUAUCGGGGGAAUGCCCCGAAGUAUCAUGUACUUGGAGGACGUUCGUGAUGAAGGCCCGAGGAGUUGGGUAGUGCAUAGUUUAGGAUUAGUUUAGAAUAGAAUAGGUUUUACAUUUUCGUAUAUUUUUAUUUUUGGACUAUAUAAUCGGACUGGACUUUAUAUUUUUAGGAUUUCUUUUGUUGGUGUUUGUUUGUUUAAGUGUUGUAUGUUUUAUGUGGUUUAUACACUUUUAGUGUCGAAUUAGCCGAUAUGCUCCACUAAGCGACCGUGGUCAAACCACGGGAUCGAGGGGUGCCUAACACCUUUCCCUCGGUCAACAGAAUUUCUUAGCCGAAAUCUAUGUUCGCAAACCAGUUUAAAGAGUCAAAUCAUUUUGAAAAGGAUUUUCCAAAAGUGACUUGGCACACCCGAUUAUGCCAAGUGGUGACUCUGAGUUUUGAAUAUAAAUAAUCCUUUUUCGAAAUAAAUUUUUCAUCUUUUGUCACUUUAAUAAUAAAAACCCUUUCGGCCCUUAAAAUUAAUCUGUUUUGGAGUUAAAAAAGGGGUUUGACACACUCCAUUAGAGAUUAAGGCUAAGAGGAGAAGGAGAGUGAUUUUCAAUGCAUUAUCAAGCAUCUAAAAAGAAAAAUUGCAACUCCUCUAUCCGUGUGUUGCAUUGAGAAAUGUACAAUGUCCAAAAAGAAGCAGCACGAGCUGAAGAAGGUGAAUAUAUAUGUCUGUUUCAACUAAGAAACAGACACAUAUCUGUUUCAACAGAUGACACAUCUGUUGAAAAUUAUCAAACAGAUAUAUAUAUAUCUGUUGCAACAGUUGACUAACUUGUUGCACUAGAUAAAGUAUCUAUUGUGACAUAUGUCUCAUCUAUUUUAGCAAAUCAAACAGCUCUUCACACCUUUAUUAUUUGUACCAACAGAUGACCUAUCUGCUGCAACAAAUGAGUCAUAUGUUGCAACAGAUGGUUCAUCCAUUGAAAAUUAUCAUACAAGUCUUUCUCAUGUAGAAAUUUGUCCCAACAGUUGAUUCAUUGUUCCAACAGAAAUAUAAUCUAUUUGGGAUAAUUUAAAACAGGAGAAAGACCUGUUUGAUUUUCUAGAACAGAUGAGUUAUCCUUUUUCAUUUUGUUAUAUCUCCGUAAUUAACAUUGACCAAUUCUGGCUUUCCAGGUGGAUGUAGAAGCUACUACUGAACAAUAUUGAUAAUAUGCUACUCUUUUUAUGGAAAUACGGAGAACAAAAAAUGCAGAAGCCGUACAUAAGUGAUAAUAAAGAUCCAUGAUGACCGAAUCCGAAUUUCAUAGCACCUGGUGAAGAACAACUUGUCCAUAUUGAGUAGAUCUUUAUAGCUUGAGUCUAUCAAAGUAAUAACCUGGCCUCUCCUUUGGAAUCCUUGACAUCAAUACUUAAAUUGUUGAUGUAUUUGUUGAGAUCUAUACCCAUAACAAUUUUUUUACAUUUCAUUUAUUCAUUGAUUUAUUUUAUAUAAUUUUUGAAGGCUUCGAUUUAUUUUAUUUUGUCUAUGAAUUUUAUUUUUUCCUUAGAUUCAAACUUAUUAAUUGAAAUGGAAUACUAGAUUCAAAUAUUGCAACAGAUAAUGUAUCUGUUGCAAUAAACGACACAUUUAUUAGAAAAUAUUAAACAAAUUUAGACAUAUGUUGCAACAGGUAGUUAAUCUGUUGAAAUUUAUGGAACGGUUCUUUCCACUAUUGCAAUAGAUAGACUUAGAUAGAAACAUCGACAUAAUGCAACAAAUGACCAACCUAUUGCAACAGAUAAAUUAUAUGUUAGAACAGAUAGAAUAUCUGUUACUACGGAUGGAGAAUCUGUUGCAUUAUAAAAAUUCAACUUUCAUUGGACAUAAAUAAUUGCCACUACAUGUAAAAAAGUGAAAGUGAAUUGAAAUAAAAAGGCGGAACCCAUCGACUGUGUUCAGCUCAAAACACCUACAAUAAAAUAGGCAUCAAGUAGACAUUGUUCAUUUUAAAUACGUAAAAUAAAUCAGGCAUCAAAUGUGUUAGUUUGGCACUUUUUGCCCUGUUGGUUGCUUGCAUAUAAUUCACAUAGUCAAGGCUAAUUGAACCCCCAUUUUUACUGACUUGGCAUCUGAUUUGACCCCUAACGGUCAUAUUUUUCCCCAUUGUCUUAUAUAUUCAUUUUCUUCCUAAAAUUUAACUCUAAAUUCCCAAAUCUUGUUAUUCAUCAUCAUCUUUUUUAUAUAUCUAAAUUCUUUAAAUUAUUUUCAUUUAGUUUUUCUUUUCUUCAUCUUUUUUUUUCCAACCGAGCUUGACAAUGUCGAGCGCAUCUUCCACUAUCUUUUGUGAUAAAAAUUUUUGAUAUUAUAAGUGUGGUCAUGAAGCUCUAUUGAAGACUUCUUGGACUCAAUAAAUUCAGGUCGUAUAUUUUAUACUUAUAAGACUUCAAAGAUAUAUUGUUUUAUUUAAUUAGCUGAUUAAUUAUUGACUUGUAAUUAUUUUGUAAUUGUGUUCUUGUUUUUAUAGAAAUUGGGUACUUUCAUUGGUACGAAGACCGACACUCUUCACAAGAAAAUCGUGUAAUUUGGGGUUUGUUGAACAAAUUCAAGGCUUCUGAAGAGAAACAAAAUCGACCAAGAAGACGCUACAUUGUUGUUGUUAUUGCUAUUGGUUUGGUGAUGUUAGGCACAUGGAUAUUCAAGCCUAAUUGCUGAAAUUUUCAUGGUGGUGUAUUUGCUAUUGGUUUGGUGUUGUUGAGCACAUGGAUAUUCAAGCAUAAUUGUUGGAAAAUAUCAAACAGAUUUAGGCAUAUAUUGUAAAAUUUAGGUCAUUUGUUGAAAAUUAUCAAACAGGUCUUCCCACUAUUGUAACAAAUUAGAUAGAAAUAACAUCGGCAUAAUGCAACAGAUGACCAACCUAUUGCAACAGAUAAAAUAUCUGCCAGAACAGAUAAAAUAUAUUUUACAAUAGAUUGACAAUCUAUUGCAUUAUAAAAAACUCAACUUUCAUCAGAAAAAAUUAUUGCCACUACAUGUACAUGUAAUUUAAAGUAAAAUGAAGUGUGACUUUAAAUAAAAAAAUUGUUAUUUCAUAGGAUCUUCUAUAUACACAGGUUUCAAGCGUCCAGUUAGUACCCCAUAAGCCUAGACCUCUUGCAAGUUUGCCACAACGUUGUUGCAUAGAAAGGUCAUUGGCUCGACCAUUUUUGUGUCGUUCAGUAAACAUUUGAUGUAUGCAUGAUCGUGCGAGCCGCACGCAUAAUUGGUAUCAUUUUUUAGAAGGUUCAUGCCCUUGUUCGACCUUCAAAAUCCCAUGUUACAUAGGGUUCUCCGAAUCAAUAAUCCAACGCAACUUAUGCAACAGAUGGAUAAUAAGUUAUAAUAGAACCACUACCAGUUGCACCAGAAUACCCAUCUGUUGCAACAGAUUUCAUAUCUGUUGAGUAGCUUCUUCUUCAUGGAGUAGAUUAGAAGGCUAGGUUAGGAAAAGUAAAAUUUUCUUGUCCUCAUACCACAUACGCAUAUCUAUCAUAAUCUGGAAGUCUUGGGGAGGAAAGGGAGGCCUGGGGUAAUCUGGUGCGCCUGGCUUCACAUUCUUGGCCUAUCAUAGAUCCCUCUUCUCUUUGGUGCCAAGUUUCACAUAUAUGUCCACCUUCUUAAAUGUCUCCUAAACUUCAGCAGCUUUUGGAGAGGGAGGAGUUGCAAUUUUUUUUUAUUUCUGACCGGAGAGUAGGUUACUAAUUACUCUUUUCUUCCUCCUAACUGCCAUUUUAGGAGUGUAUGGCUCCCUCAUCUUAUUGGAUGGUAUGACACCCCUCUUGAAUUUGAAUUUCUCGAUAGCUUUAGAGAUAGCCUCUACUUUUUUAAAGAGUUUAUCCUGCCUGUCCUUGGACUCUUCGCAUUUACAACGAGAAUACGAGGGUGAAGAGGGGUGAGAGGGAUCUGUGUAAGGGUGAAAAGGGGUGUUUUCAAAUAUAUGUAUUUUUUCUUGAACAUCAAUAUGCUCAUCAUCACGAGUGGUAGCAGAAUCAAUAUGCUUGCCACCAACACCAACAACUUCAACAGAAAAAGUACCCGAAUUUGCCUUAGUAGGUUGGUCAUGAAGAUCCUCAACAUUAGGCUAACCUUACCUAACUGCUCUUCUUAUGGCUGUUGCUCCAGCCAAUUCCUUCUUUAUUAACUCCACCGUUCGGUCUUCUAUAGUAUCAAUAUAACCUAGAGUAAUAUAAGAAGUCAUCACCGACUCUCGCUCAGUAGGCAUGAUCCAUGGAUUCACAACCUAUAAAAAAAUAUAGAUACAUUUAAAUCAUAUAAUAUAAUAAUUUUCACCAUUGGGUUAUACACAGUGAACUUUUGCAAUAGAUUAACAAUAUGUUGCAUCAGAUUACCCAUUGUUGCAUAGUUUGCAGUAGAUGGUUGAAAUUUAUUUGAGUCGGGUUUAGAGAACCAUAGCAACACAUGGAUAAUCUGAUGCAAAAUAUCAAUCAUCUGUCGUAACAGAUUACCAAUCUGUUGCACCAGUUGCACAAAAUAGGUAAUCUUUUUGGUUACAUAUUAUGCAACAGAUGAUUUGUAUGUCACAAUAGAUUAAAAAUAUGUUACAUUAGAUUAUACAUCUGUUACAUAAUUUGCAGUAGAUGGUUAAUCUGUUAGGAGUUGGGUUCAGAGAACCAAAGCAACAAAUGGGUAAUCUGAUGCAAGAUAUCAAUCAUCUGUCGCAAUAGAUUAUUCAUCUGUUGCACUGAUUGGCACAGGAUGGGUAAUCUAUCACAAUAGAUGUCCCAUCUGGUGCAUUAGCUAUAACAUCUGUUUAGUAUCUUUCAUUGAGUAAAAUUAUUUUACUUGAAGAAAAUGUACUGCAUCAUCCAAAGGGUUAAAGAGAUCAGCCUCCUUAAUUUUGGUGUUGUUCUUUGCAGCCAACCAACUAAAUAUCCUUGGAUGAGAAACCUCAUUUGGGUAAUCCAUUACCUGCUUUUGGAAGGGAGGAAUGACUUCAAAUGACUAAUCCUAAAAAAUGUAAAGAGGAAGCAAGCAAAAAAAAAUCAUAAUAACUAUAUUCAAUAUAAAUUAAUGGAUGAGUAAAAAUAGUGAUUAAUUUUACCAUGAAAGCCCAAGGAAAGCCGUAUAAUAUGGUUGUCCCUGAAGAUAGCUUUGUCAGUAAAUAUUGGAAAGUCAAAUAGAAGCUGUCAUAUCCCCAGGGAUAAUUGUUAAAUUUAUCCAAAUCCUCAGAACACGCCAAUAAAUCAUCUUCUAUGACCUUGUUGACGUCUCUUGCCAAUAUAACCGAAUGGGCAAACCAAACUAAACACAAUUGCUCCCUGUACUACUUUGGUAUGGUUUUAUCCAUGAGAUCUGUCAAUAAAUCCGAUUCUUUGUAGCCACGUCGAGUAAUGUCAAACAACCCAUUUAUUUUUUCCUUGAGUUUUCUUGCCUUGGAUCUUUUACAGGGUGUUCCCUUAGCGAUAGGUGGUUCUUCUGGAUGAUGGCAUCUCAAGCUCGUCACUAUGGAAAACUCUUACAAGCCAAAACAAAUCGGUAUGCCACAGUAGUUGAUCCAGAUUUCAUCCAUCUUUUUUUUGCCCUCUUAUCCAAAUAUUUAUCAUCCCCCACGUACUUGAUCCUGUGCUUGAGAAGACUAUAUACCAUCCUCAUAUGAAAACAGGCAGGGGGUCCUCAAGCAGUCAAGAAAGCAUCUAAAGCAACUCUUCUUCAAAAGUCCGUCUAUGUUUUCGUUCUUUAUAAUUUCCUAAAAUAAAUAAAAUUUCUCCCCAUCUGACAUUUAAGUACAAGUUCACCAGUUAGUUCUUCUUCUAUUUUUGGGUCAUUUAUCGGUAUCGCAACUUGAAACCUGUCAAUACUAAAAGUUUUGACAGGAUCAUGCUGGGAUGUCGAUAUUAAUUCACACCUCAUUGGUGAUCCAUUAUCAUCAUGUUGAUGAUCAUCCUCUUUCUCUUUAUCACACUCUAAUUCCUCCUCUUUCUCAUUUUUAUUUUCUUCAUCACCAUCUAUAGACCCUUGUCCACCUCCUUUAAUGUUGUUUUUAUAUCUCUCCCCGACUUUACUUUUCCCUACCUGAGAUUAUUCAGGAAGCUCCUCUGAAUCCCUCUGUACUGUAGCCUUUUUUUGGGUGGUCAGACGUUGAUCCACUUUCACUUUCUUUCUUUUGGGAGACAAGUUUUACCCACAAACAAUAGAAAAAAAUACAUUACAAUUGAUGUAUUCAUAAAUUUUAAAAAAUACAUUACCAACACCACCAAUACUGACGCACCAACAGCCACUACCACCACAAACACCACCAACUAAUACCACAAACACCAUGAAUACCGACACCACUGAUAGCCACCACAAACACCACCAUCCAAUGCCACCACAAACUCUACCAACUAAUGCCACCAACAGCCACCACCAGUGCAACCAUAACGACCAGCACAACCACCACCGCCACCACCAACACCAAAAAUACCAUCCAACAAUACCACGAUAGUCAACAGAACACUGCGAUAGAGACUAGGGUUUUCUUGAGUUCUUCCUAUAAUUUUACCAUCAAAACUCAAAAUUGUAAACCCAUUCUCAAAGAUAAUAUAACUAAAAAUUUUAUUUUUCAUUAUUAACUUAAAAGCUCUUAUGUUUUAGGAAAAAAUAACAAAUAUAGAACUCUUCUCAAACUCUGUUACCUAUGAAGACAGAGAAAAAAACUGAUACAAGCAAGAAUAAAGUUGAAAAUAACACCUAUGUGGUCGAAAAUGAAAAGAAAAUCAAUCUGUUGUGAAGGGUAGAGUAAUUUGUUGAGUAGUUGUUGUCUGUACUGUAUAAUUAAGUGAGAAAGAGAAAAGAGUGAGAACUAAAGAUUUGAAAUAAUGAAACAUUUUUCUCGUUAAUGGAUGAUUUGUUUGGGUUGAUUUUUAUUUUGGAAAAGAAUGACAAAGUUUUGAAAAUGUUAAUUUGGUCCGAAUUGAUUUUAAUUAUUUUUUAAAAUUAUAAAAGAUAUGCAUAAUUUUUAACUCUCUCAUCAUGCAAUUGCCAAAAGACUCAAUUGAAGUUGUAGUUGACCCUAUAAACUCACCCCUGGUCCUAGAUUAAUCAAUUUAGGUAUUAGACUCUAACAUAUGAACUUAAUUAAACUUGUAUAAAAAUGAAUGUUCAACCUGUUGCAUCAGAUAAUGCAUCUGUUGUAAAUUAUCAAUCAACUUAAGUUUGUUGCAACAAAUUAUGCAUCUGUUAUAAAUAAUCAAACAGAUUAAGUAAUCUAUUGUGACAGAUUACCCAUCUAUUGUAAAUUAUAAAAUGGAUUGUCAUAUGUCGCAACAGAUUACCUAUCUGUUGUAAAUUAUCAAAUAGGCGUUGCCAUCUAUUGUAGUUGACCCUAUGAGAACUCACCCCUAGUCCUAGAUUAAUCAAUUAAGGAAUUGGUUGAACAUAUAAGGUAGUAAGAAUUGGUUCAGCUUAGAGUGAUUGAUCGAUGACUAUAGUCGGGAGGAACAUAAUACUGUCUCAUUAUGCAAUUGCCAAAAGACUCAAUUGAAGUUAUAGUUGACCCUAUGAGAACUCACCCAAGGCCCUAGAUUAAUCAAUUAAGGUAUUAGUCUAACAUAUGAAAUCAAUUGAAACUAUAUAAAAACAAAUAUUUAAUCUGUUACAACAGAUGUCUUUUCUGUUGGAUUUAAUCAAACAAAUUAAGUCAUUUAUUGCAAUAGAUUAUGCAUGUGUUAUAAAUUAUCAAACAGAUUAAGUCAUCUAUUGCGAUAGAUUACCCAUUUGUUGUAAAUUAUCAAAUGGAUUAAUUCAUAUGUCACAACAGAUUACCCAUCUAUUGUAAAUUAUUAAAUAGGCGCUGCCAUCUAUUGUAGUUGAACCUAUGAGAACUCACCCCUGGUCCUAGAUUAAACAAUUAAGGUAUUAGUCUAACAUAUGAGGUAGUAAGAAUUGGUUUAACUCAGAGUGAUCGAUUGGCGACUCUGAUCGAGUGAAACGCAAUACUGUCUCAUCAUGCAAUUUCUAAAAAACUCAAUUGAAGUUGUAGUUGACCCUAUGAGAACUCACCCCUGGUCCUAGAUUAAUCAAUUAAGGUAUUAGUUGAAUAUAUGAGGUAGUAAGAAUCGGUUCAGCUCAGAGUGAUCGAUCGACGACUCAGGUUGGGCGGAAUGUAAUACCAUCUCAUUAUGCAAUUGCUAAAAGACUUAAUUAAAGUUGUAGUUGACCCUAUGAGAACUCACCCCUGGUCCUAGAUUGAUCAAUUAAGGUAUUAGUUUAACAUAUGAACUCAAUUGAAAUUGUAUAAAAAUAAAUAUUCAAUUUAUUGCAACAGAUGUCUUUUUUGUUAGAUUUAAUCAAACAGAUUAAGUUAUUUGUUGUAAUAGAUUACACAUAUAUUGUAAAUUAUCAAAUAUAUUAAGUCAUCUAUUACGAAAGAUUACCCAUCUGUUGUAAAUUAUCAAAUGGAUUAAGUCAUAUAUCACAACAGAUUACCCAUCUGUUGUAAAUUAUCAAAUAGAUAAUGCCAUCUAGUGUAGUUUACCCUAUGAGAACUAUCUCCUGGUCCUAAAUUAAUCAAUUAAGGUAUUAGUCUAACAUAUGAGGUAGUAAGAAUUGGUUCAACUUAGAGUGAUCGAUCGUCAACUCUGGUCGGGAGGAAUGCAAUACUGUCUCAUCAUGUAAUUUCCAAAAGACUCAAUUAAAGUAGUAGUUGACCCUAUAAGAACUCACCCCUGGACCUAGAUUAAUCAAUUAAGGAAUUAUUCUAACAUAUGAGGUAGUAAGAAUUGGUUCAGCUCAGAGUGAUCGAUUGAUAACUAUGUUCGAGAGAAAUGCAAUACCGUCUCAUCAUGCAAUUGCCAAAAGAUUCAAUUAAAGUUGUUGUUGACCCUAUGAGAACUCACCCCUAGUCCUAGAUUAAUCAAUUAAGGUAUUAGUCUAACAUAUGAACUCAAUUGAAAUUUUAUAAAAAUAAAUGUUCAACCUGUUACAACAGAUUAACCAUCUGUUGUAAAUUAUCAUAUAGAUUAAGUCAUUUGUUGCAACAGAUUAAGCAUCUGUUGUAAAUAAUCAAACAGAUUAAGUCAUCUAUUGCAACAGAUUACUCAUCUAUUGUAUAUUAUCAAAUGGAUUGUUAUAUGUCGCAACAGAUUACCCAUCUAUUGUAAAUUAUCAAAUAGGUAUUGUUAUCUGUUCUAAUUGACCCUAUGAGAACUCACCCCUGGUCCUAGAUUAAUUAAUUAAGGUAUUAGUUGAACAUAUGAGGUAUUAAGAAUUAGUUCAGCUCAGAGUGAUCGAUUGAUGACUCUGAUCGGGAGGAACGCAAUACUGUCUCAUCAUAUAAUUGCCAAAAAACUUAAUUAAAGUUGUAGUUGGCCCUAUGAGAACUCACCCGUGGUCCUAGAUUAAUCAAUUAAUGUAUUAGUCUAACAUAUGAAAUCAAUUCAAAUUAUAUAAAAACAAAUGUUAAAUCUGUUGCAACAGAUGUCUUUUCUGUUGGAUUUAAUCAAAUAAAUUAAGUAAUCUGUUGUAACAUAUCACGCAUCUAUUGUAAAUUAUCAAACAGAUUAGGUCACCUCUUUGGAAAAAUUCAAACAGAAAUUUUCAUAUGUUGCACUUAGAUGUUUUAAGACCCCUUUUUAAAGCAAUUUAGGUAUUUUCUGUCUAAUAUCAAAAAGGCGAUAAAAAUAUUACUUGGAUAACUUAAAAAUAUCCUGAGUGAGUAGUCUUAUCUGGUCUUUUCAUUGUCACCGUCUCUUCGUGCCCCUUAAAAGUUAUUAAUGAAUAUUUAAAACCCAUAUCUAGAAGAAUACUCUCUCCUUUAGCCGUAGAGUAGGACUCAACUCAUCUAUCACUUUUCUUUAUUCUCAAUUCUCUUUCUUUUCUUUUUUCCUCUCUUUUCUCUCUUCUUUCAGAUGAGGAUCCUUUUGGGUCUCAAUCGAUCUAUAUCUUUUCUCGACUGAACUGGAUGUUCUGAUCCCUUCAUUUUUUUUACAUUGCAGGUAUGGUUCACUAUUGCUCUUUCCAUCUCGUUUCCUUCUUUGUAUGCUAUUUAAAUUAGAUAUUUACAUAUGUUGCUAUUAAUGAUUUACCCAUUACCAGUUUCCUAUUUAUUGAGAAAAUUGAAGGAAAGGUGACUUUUAAGUCUUGAACGAACAAACCAUUGUUUUUAUUAAAAUAUAGAGAAAAAGUCAUCUGUUGGGAGAAGUUAAAAAGACUUGUUGUCAGUAUAGUUUGAUGAAUCAGUUGUUAAAACAGACGGAGCAACUAUUUAAAGAAAUCAAACCAGUAGCAAGUUUGGUUUAAUUUAUUCCAACAGAUGAACCAUCUGUUGCAACAUAUCAUUCAUAUUUUGCAAUAAUGCCUCAUCGAUUGAACAGAUGGGUAAUCUGUUGCAUCAGAUUGGUCAUCUAUUGAUUCACUUAAUUUUGUGUUACCCUUUUGUACAGAUGGAGCAACUGUUUGAAAAAAAUCAAACCAGUAGCAAGGCUGGUUUGAUUUAUUCCAUUAGAUGAACCAUCUGUUGCACCAUGUCAUCCAUCGGUUGUAAUAAAUACCUCAUUGGUUGAACAGAUGGGUAAUUUGUUGCAUCAGAUUGGUCAUCUGUUGAUUCACUCAAUUUUGUGUUAAUCUUUUGUAAUGUUCUUUUUGUUCUUCUAUUAUUUGACAUCAAAUUUAUUUCUCUUGUUUGUAGAUAAAAGAAAGUGAAACUGGAUCCACUUUUGCCUGACCAGCAUUAAAGGCUAGAGUAAAGAUGGGUUUGGAGGAAUAAACUGCUUGUAGAUGGAACCACUUUAUAUGUAGGAGGUAUGUAUUACUGAUCAACCUAUCAUGAAAACACACACCCAGUAUAAUGAUUUUAUAAAUGUUUGUUCUUUACCUAUUAGGCAUUAAUCCUUCAAACAAGAUAUGGCAUUUUACAGUUAAGAGUGUUAGGUUCGAACUGGGAAGGCUGAGGGACCAAGAAGGUGGUGUCGAUACCCUAUUACAAUUUAAUGACCAUUUAUGCUCAUGUUUUUGUGUCAAGUUUGAGGAAGGGUAAGUUUUUGGCGGCAGUGUAAAUAUCCAAUAGUGAUUGGACCAGUUUUAAUGGCUCAAUGGACUUCUUGAAAGGCCUCCGAAGUCUCGCACUACAGAAAACAAUGAUGGAACUAAUAGAAAUUCCCCUGGUCUAAAUUUAUAUGGAUGGGUUGCUGGAGGAGACUAUUAUACAGAAGUAGGUACUUGGUAGAAUACUUGUACGGAAAGGGGGAGGUUGAGAAAGCCAUAUAUCAUUCCAGACCUUGUUUAAGAGAAAACACAGGGUAGGAAGGAAAGUGUAGGAAAAUUGGCUAAUGAAAUUGACAUGAAAAAUGAAAAAACUGGAUGAGCUACGAAUGUGAAAGUGUAUCCAAAAAUGAAAAUCCAUCCGUCGUCGAAGAAAAAGAAGAAUGGUCAAGAGGACUGGAGCUGGUCACUUUGCUAGAUACUGCAACUAGUGAGCAUGGCCUCAAUGAAGACCCACAAAAUGUAGGACCAGAACUCUAAUGAAGCAGCGUCGCGAGCACGGAAGGUGGUAAUAUUGUUGGUCAAAAUUAAAACCUGAACCAACUACUCUUGAAUUAAAAAUAUGGGAUCAAGCCAAGGUGGCAAUUUCUCAAGUUAAACUUGCAUUCCAUGCCUCUUAUUUAUGGCUCUGGUCAGGUCAAAGGCAGUGGAAACAACAAGGCAUGGGAUUUCUGCCCAACUUUGGACCUUUUUAUUUCUACUUCCAUUAACCUGAUCAUAGCCACAAACAGAAGGCAUGGCAUGCAAGUUAGACUUCAGAAAUUAACACCUUGGCUUGCCUUAUUUUUAAUUCAGGAGUUGUUGGUUCAGGUUUCAUUUCUGACCGACAAUCGUACCAAUUUCCUGUGCUCGCGAAGCUUUUUCCUUAGAGUUCUGGUCCUGCACUUUGUGAGAGUCUUCAUUGAGGCCACGCUCGCUAGCUACAUUCUCAAGCAAAGUGUCCAACUCCAGUCCUAUUGACCAUUCUUCUUUUUCUUCAAUGAUUGACGGAUUUUUAUAUUUGGAUACACUUCCACAUAUGAAGCUCAUCCAGUUUUUUCAUUUCUCAUGUCAAUUUUAUUGGCCAGAUUCGCUUCCUUACUUGCUUUCCUUUGUUUUCUCUUAAAUAAGGUAUGAGAUGAUAUAUGGCCUUCUCCACCUCCCCUUCCCAUACAAGUAUUCUCCCAAGCAUCUUCUGUUGUAUAAAAGUCUCCUCCAUCAAUCCAUCCAUAUAAAUUUAAACCAGGGGAAUUUCUAUUGGUUCCAUCAUUAUUUGCUGCAAUACGAGGCUUCAGAGGAAUUUCAAGAAGUCCAUUGCGCCGUUAAAACCGGUCCAAUCACUAUUGGAUAUCUACACUGCAGCUAAAAACUUAAACCAUUUCCCCAAACCUGACAUAAAAACAUGAGCAUAGACCGUCAUUAAAUUGUAACAAGGUAUUGACACCACCGUCUUAGAAACCUUCAGCCUUAUCAGUUAGCACCUAUCAAACUAAACUGUACAAUGAAGGAUCUUGUUUGAAGGAUCGGUGUCUAAUCGGUAAAAAAUGCAUUCACAAAAUCAUUAAACUUUAUGUGUGUCUUUCACGGUAGUCUGAUCAGUAACACAUAACUCCCACACAUGAAAGUGAAUCCAUUGCACGCACCUUAUUCUUCCUACCCUAUCAAGACAUGUCAGACAGUUUUAUUUAUUCAUUUGUACGUAUGUGAUGACUAUUAAAAAAGAGGUGUAAAGAUUUGUGACUUUUUAUCUUAACAUAUUCAAAACAACCGAUGAAUCAAAAUCUCCAUCUAUUAUAACUGAUGAAUCAACAGUUGGAAGAAAUCAAAAUAUCUAUUUUGACAUAUGGUCCAUCUGUCGUAACAAAUAAUCCAUAUGUUGCAAUAGAUGGUAAAUUUGUUGUGAAAGACCAGACAUUGUUUAUUCAUCUGCACGCAUGUGAUGACUAUUAACAAAGAGGUGAAGAGUACUGAUUUUUUAUCUAACACAUUCAAAAUAGUUGAUGAACCAAAUUUUUCAUCUGCUGCAACUGAUGAAUCAGUUGUUAGAAGAAAUCAAAACAUCUCCUCCAACAUAUGAUCCAUCUGUUGCAACAAAUAAUUUAUAUAUUGCAAUAGAUAUUGCAACAGAUAGUAAAUCUGUUGCGACAGACCAAAAAGUUUUUAUUCAUCUGCACACAUGUUAUGACUAUCAAAAAAGAGGUAGUCGUGACUUGUUAUCUAACACAUUCAAAAUAGCUGAUGAAUCGAAUUCCCCAUCUGUUGCAACGGAUGAAUUAGCUAUUAAAAGAAUAUCAAAACAUUUCCAAAAGAUGGUCCAUCUAUCACAAUAGAUAAUACAUAUAUUGCAGUAGAUGUCUCAUUUAUUUCACAUACAAAACAUCUAUUACAACAGAUGGUAAAUCUAUUUUGACAGAUCAUCUGUUACACAUACAAACAAUUUAUUGUAAUAAAUGAUAAAUCUGUUGUGAUAGAGAGACGAUCUAUUGUAAAAGCUCAAUAAUAAAGGUUGUUAUCAAGUCUUAAAACCAUUUUGAAAAGGUCAGAAGUAUUAAUGUAAAAGAAAAAAUCGUGACUUUUCACAGAAAAUAAAAUACCACCAGUUUGAAUGUAAUUAAUACAAUGGAGCUUAACAGUCGUGCCUUUUGGCCUGACACGUCCAGAUUCAAUCCUCUAUAAAUAGGUCCCUCCAUAAUCUUUAUUCUACUAAACUUUAUUUAUUUCUUAUAUUAUUUCUUUUUGUGUGACAUUUUCAACCACUUCUCUUCAAAAAGCAUAUUCCUUUUUUAUUGAGGUAAGUUUUUUUCCGAAAUAAAUCUACCAGUUGGUAGUAUACGUUGUAUUAUAUUUGAACUCUUUUUAUUUAUAUUUGUCAAUUCAUGGUGUUCUAGAUAUGGCUAAUCCUAUUUGGGACAUUGUUAUUUUGCGUGACACAUUGCAGGAACUUAAAAGGCAGGUUAAUGACCUACAGAGGGAGUUGGUCGCCAUGAGAGCGAUGAUGUUCAGAGAGAUGCAGAGUCUGAUGAGGGCCCUGUUGCUGUGAGUUGAUUGGCCGGUUGUCACUAAUGAUGAUGAUGAUGAUAUUAAUAAUUAGAAUGUGUUUUUUCUUUUAGAAUAUGUAUUUUAUUUUUUCUAUAUCGGAUCUAUACCUAAUGUAUUUUAUUUUUCAUUUAAUGAAAAUUUUAUUUUUAAUUGACUUUGGCUUUUUAAUUCUUAUUCAAUUUCAUUUUGUCUAUUUCUUCUAAACAUACAUGUUAAUGUUAACAUGCCGACGGAUGGAGGUAAGGAGCAAUUUUGAAUCUAAUAGCAAUAGUAAUUUUGGCUUUUGAGUUUUUUCUACAAAUGGACUAUGUGUUGGAACAGAUUGGUCAUCAGUUGGGCUUCUGUCAAUAGAUUAUCCACCUGUUGUGAUAGAUUUAUCAUCUGUUGGAGAAAAACAUUAUAGUUUGAUGGAACUGUGUUGUGUUCUUCCAGCUAAUGUCUAUCUGUUGCCACAGAUGGUUAAUCUGUUGAGAAUAAUUGUGGUCUAUUGUAUUAUUUAGUUCAUGUUUUGCCUCUUUAUAUUGAUGCAUAAGUUAUUAAAAAGAUAUUUUAUACAUGAUAAAUGAUAACAUUACGUUCACAACAAUGGGUUAAAUAUAUAAAAGUCCACAACAAACAACAACACAAGUCCAAUUACAAUGAUCAUGGUGGAUUACGAUUCGGGCAUGUUCUUUUAUGACCAACACGCUUACAUAUGAAGCACUUAUUUCUUCUUGAUGAAAAUGAUUUUUUGACUCCAUGCCUCCUCUUAUAUGGCUUUUAUCCCAGUUUGAUAGUGCUUGGGUCAAUAUAUGGAGGAGGUAUUAAUCUCUCCAAAAUCUCUGCAGGAAUAACCCAAGAUUCUUCGGGAGGCACCGGAGUAAUAUGCCUACUAUAUGCCAUUUCAUAUUCUUCCACCAAAUUAUAUUGAGAGGAAUGAUUGUAAACUUUAGGUUUAUAUUUUGGACCGUAUUGAGCUCAAAGUGUUGCCAUGGCAUGUGGACAGGGUAUUUUGUCCAAGUCAAAAACUCUGUACGUACAAGAUCUUGUUUGAAGAUCGAUCGUGGCAACAUCACCAUGACCGAUGAUACUGAAUUUGUAAUCUACUAUUUUAUGAGAUAAUGACCUAUUCCCCAAACUGAUGUUCGUUGAUAUUAUUUUUUUGAUUUCGAGAACAAAUCGGGUUCUUUUUGGGCCCUUGAACUGUAUAUGCCUUUUGUUAAAAAAUUAGCCAUACUUCUUGUUUAUUACUUCAAACAUAGCCUUGAUAGGAAAUUCUCUUUCAUUGCCAAGCAAUGAAUUCACCGAUUCAGCUAUGUUUGAUGUCAUAAUAUUGUACCUAUACAAAAGAAUCACUUAGUACGACAUCUUACUAAACUUGUAACUCAAACAAGAUAAUAAAUUCAUAAGAAUGUACCUAUCUGCAGGACAGAAUGCCUGGCUCCAUCUCUCAAAAAUGACACGUACGAGAAGUUCUACUACCUUGGGAUUCACAUCUGUUAUUUGAUUGAAAUGGUCUAAAAAUUCCUCUCUACUAUAUGCUUUAGCUGCUCUAUAAAAAAGGGUCACGAUCCUUUUGCUGUGAUAGUUGGUUCGAAUGUUCUCUCCAAGAUGCCUGAUGCAGCAACCAAAAGUAAGCUGAAGUGAAGAAAAUUGAACCCAUCUUUAGAAUACUUGGAUGCCUAUUCGAAAUGAAUCACAACUCUUCGGUAUCUUCGACACAGCUUCGUAGUUGUUCAAAAAGAUCCAUAAAAUGUAUCACAUUCCUUGUCCGCUACAUAAAAAGUGGUAGGAAAGAUGUGAUUCUCAGCAUCCUGCACCACCGCCGCUAGCAGAAUUCCAUUAUACCUGUUUUUCAAGAAGGUACCAUCGACGGCUAUGCCUUUUCUUAAAUGUCAAAAACCUUGAAUCCAAGCACCAUGGGAUACAAAAAAGUCCUUGAACCUUCCAUUUUUAUCAACAUGCAAUGUCGUCUUACUUCCGAGAUUUGUGGACUCAAUUAUGUAAUGGUAGGCCUCUAGGACUGCAUACCUAUGCUCGUGUGUCCCUUUAACCAAGUCCUUAGUAAUCCCCAUAGUCGUAUAUAUCUUUCAAUAACUGACCAGAACACCCAAUUUCGUAAGGAUUUGAUUGUCCAUAACCCUUGUUGAAGGGCCUUUACUAUUGGGGAAACUACUACUGAAAUAUUCACUGAGGACCUUUGUCGUAGCGUGAGGAUUUUGGCCCGAGAUGUUCUAUGAACCACAUGUGUGAUGAUUUUCAUGUUUAUGAAUAAUGAAUCUAUCAGAACUUGCAUACUUCACCGCUCUCAACCACCACUUACAGUUCAGAUUAGCACAUUUGAAGCAAAAGACACCGCUCAAAUUAAUCACCUCCUUUAUUUUGAAUUUUUUUUCAAGCAAGAUAUAACAAAGUGGUAGAUAGUUCAUUCUUGUCCUUGAAUGACAUUCCAAUUAAAAAGUUGGUCCCGUCGUCUUGAAGAUUUCCAAACUGUAUCGAUUGAGAAUAACUACCCAUCGUAUUGGUCUCAUCAAUGGGUGUUGGUGUUUGAUCAUCAUCUAAAAUAUUCAUGUCUAGAUCAUCCAACCUAUCAUCAAAGAUGUCUUGCUCUUCUUCUUCUUCUAUGUUCUGGUUCUCAUUCUCUCUCAUUUUUUCAACCACGUACACCCUUAACACCAUCCUAGAUAAAUCACUAAGAUAAGCACGUAACCGAGCCUGAUCUAUUAUCUUGAAAGGUAGUACCCUAUGAUUUUCAAAGGAUCUAUACAUGUAUCUAAUGACGAGUUCUUCUGAUUGAUAAUUCAGUCCACAAUAACUGAUGAUUAAGUUUACAAAAUCAUCAUACGAAAUAUUACUUUGGACUGUCAUAGCUAUCAUCUCUAACAUUUUACCUUUGUUCCACGCCAUACAUAUCGAUUGCUCUUCUCGUUCCAUUGACCAUGAAAACCCACCCCUAUUGUUAUUGAUCCCUCCAUUAGUGGUACCUAAAUAAAUUCAUUUGUUAAAAAAAGUUAAUAGUAAUUUCAUAGUGCCGUAAAUAAAUCCCAACAGAUGUGUAAUCAGUCGCAAUAGAUUAAAUACCUUUUGAUACAAGUCAAAUGGUUGUCUUAGCUUUUGAUGACAUCAUUCAAAGUCACUACGUGAAGAAUCAAGCUUUGGUCGCAUGGAAGGCAUGGGAUCAUACUUGGAGGGGGUCGUCUUGAGCAUGCCAUUAAACAAACCCGAGUGUAGAAUAUUGCUUGGAGCCUUGAAGAGUUGAGGACUCUCGGGUUUGGGCCAUACUUAGUGGUUCACGGUUUUGGUUCCCUUUAUUAAGGGUAUUUUGGUCAUUUAGACUUAUCUAAAUGACACUCUAUGGCCGCCCCACUUCAUUAAGGGCAUUGGAGUCAUUUUGUCUUUCUUUUGUAAUAUAUUAUACAUAGUCUCUUUUAGGUCUUUUCUCUUUAGUGUGAUGAAAAUAUGAGAUAUGAAAAAUCCUCUCUCUUGAGGGUAGACCAUCUUAGUGUUUUUCUUAGUUAGGGCUUGGAUUAGCCAUUGUAGUUUACGGCUUAGAAAAGUCAAUAUUGUUCUUUGCUUGGAAACGGUGGAUCUUAAGGUGAGUUGAUUCUCUUGGCGGUCACCGUAAGAGUGGGGUGUUGUUGUUAUAUUCAUUAGGGGUUUUUGAGUUUAAUAUACUCUUUAGUUCCUAAUCUUUGUAAUAAUCUAUAUCUCACUAUCUAUCUUUACCUUUCUUGCAAUUGUGUUAGAAUUUGUACCUUAUAAUCAUUUGUUCUUGUUGAAUUUGAAUCUUGUGUCCAUCUUGUUCUUGCUGUAUUGUUGUUGUUUUGGUGUUAAAACACCUUGUAAACUCGUGAUACUUGUGUCGUUGUUGUUGGCCAAAACUAGCACUCAAAGGGGUCCUCAGGUUGCUCUCAAUUUGUGGACUAUUUUGUGUAGUUUUUGUGACUUCCGUGGUGUUUCUUGUAUCAUUUAGUAUCAGAUCAUGGCUUGAUCUUGUUCCCAUAAGAUCAAUCUUGGGCUCGUAAACUUGAAAAUAAAAAAAGUGUGUAAGAAAACUGAAAAAUCAAAAAGAAGCAAAUCUGUCCAUUUUUGUGUCUUGGCCGAAAUUGUGUCGUUGUAGUUGUCUUGGCCGAGUUUGAGUCUAGAUCUAGGUGUAUUUUUACUUGUUUUGUUGUUUUUUGUGUUAGAUUCUUUCUUUACUAACUCCAUUGAUUCAAGAUCCAAGUUGAGCUUGAACGAUUCUUGUUGGUAUUGUUGUUAUGGUUCCAUACUUGAAUAUUGUUAGUGUGUUUUGGUGGUGUUGUUGUUGUGGAUUGAAAUUUGAAGGUGUGGUUUGAACUCGUGUUGUUGGUAUUUUGUUAUGGGUUUUAAGUCUGAAAAAGGUGUUGUCUGUUCUUGGAGCUCAACGUGAGACUUGGUAUUCAAACUUCAUUGGAUGUUCUUGUUGUUCUAGACCAAUAUUCAUGUAUAGUUGCAAGAAGACUCUUUAAUAGUAUUGUUUGAUCCAAACCCAAGUAGUGGAAAGAGAAUCCCUUAUGUUUAUCUUGAAACUAGUCCCCAAUAAUCUACCAAAAGGGAAGGGAGACAAAAGAUCUACCAAAAAAACUAGUUACGAAAAGAAAGAAAGACCACUUUUGUAGGUGUUCAAAAGAGGAAAAGUUCACCUACCCCUCAAAAAGGUGUCUUGCCUAAAAGGUGUAAGACAAGUCAAACCUUUUUGAAAGGUGAAAAGGGCUCCAAUCUUGUUGUUGUCUUCUCCAAGGGCGGUUAAACCACUUCAAGAACCAAAAUUUCAAAGUUGGGAAAAAUAAGAACCUUUCAAAAACUGUAACCAAUCCUAGAUUGCCACAUACCAAAACUUUUGGCUCAAAAUCUUGGUUCUUCGUUUCUUGUUGUUGAUUCUUAGUUUUAUUUUGUUGAUUCUUAUACUAAUUGGCAACUAGUAAAUACCUACUAAGUUGU
This 51706-nucleotide long non-coding RNA is filed under the name Capsicum annuum. RNAcentral describes it as "long non-coding RNA (CANN_LNC004522)". The record is from RNAcentral. Lineage: Eukaryota; Viridiplantae; Streptophyta; Magnoliopsida; Solanales; Solanaceae.